RNAcentral lists this long non-coding RNA (78829 nucleotides) under Selaginella moellendorffii. RNAcentral's name for it is "long non-coding RNA (SMOE_LNC002375)". The record is from RNAcentral. Lineage: Eukaryota; Viridiplantae; Streptophyta; Lycopodiopsida; Selaginellales; Selaginellaceae.
UUCAAUUGGCAAGGAGGCAAAGACAUCCUCACACCACCUCAGGAGCUUGAGUUGGCCUUUGCUCAGCUCGACUGCUUGACAGAGCUCUGGUUGUACAGGGUUGGGAACCCAGAGACUCUCCUUAGCCAACUCCUUAGGAAACCAGGAAACAACUUGAAACGUCUCCAAUUGCUGGGGAACAGGAUGACAGUGGAAGGAUUUGGGAAAUUGAGUAGGGAUCUGGCAAGUCAGGAGUGCAGGGUGGAAGAGUUAGUCAUCGAAGAUAACCACAUUGGCAAGGAAGGGUGGGAACAGGCAUUUCAGAGUGGCAUUUGCAUUAAGCUAGUAAAACUGGUGGCAACGUUUCGAGAGGAGGCAGGUGAAGCACUCUUCAAGGCACUCACUUGUCCAAACUGUUCGCUGCAAAGACUAUACGGGCGCGGACCAUACUUGAGCUCACGAGUUGAAGAGUUGAGCUCACGAGUUGAGGUCAAUUUUCAAUUGUAAUUUAGUACGAACAUUAUAAAUUUUAAAAUUUUAAGGUUAUGGCGAACCUAAUAAUUUAAUAACUCUCUAUAUAUUAUAUAGAUAAAAAUGUUCUAAAGAACACAUUUUGUUCUAAUAAUUUAAAUAUUUACUACAUGCAAUGAUAGGGACAUUUGUUAGAACAUAAAAUAAAAUGUUUGAAAAAAGAGUAUUCUUGUCACUUCUUUAAAUUUGUACUCUAUACUUUUUGGCUAGUAAAUAUUAGGUUUGUCAGAAUUAAAAAAUUAUUAAAUUUGAAAUAAGAUUCUAUGUGAAACCAUAUAACCGUUUGAAAGGAAAAAAAAUAACCGUUGAUGUAAGUUUAUUGCAUAUAAAAGAAAGACUUGGUUCUUUGUAGAAUACAUUCUUGAGGGGUUUGUCGUAGCAUACUGUCUAGAAUUUAUAGAUCUUCAUUCACACUCUCAUUCAAAAAAAGGGAAAUACACCCACAAAUGUCUAUGGGUUCUAGUGUUGGUAAUUUUAACUCUCACAAUCUUUCUUCCCAGGGCUCAAGGGCUAGGAGAUGCAAUAACUAUCCCAUUGCACAGCAUAACCAAAUCACACAGAGAAGGACCAGCCUAGUAUCACUCCUCCGGCCUUUUUUUNNNNNNNNNNNNNNNNNNNNNNNNNNNNNNNNNNNNNNNNNNNNNNNNNNNNNNNNNNNNNNNNNNNNNNNNNNNNNNNNNNNNNNNNNNNNNNNNNNNNUACAAGUGAUGCACAGAAGAGACAAAUUCUGGCUGCCCUGGAGGAAAACUACCAAAGCCUCGUGGAAGAGCUAUAUCUAGGCAAUGAUUCCGAAGCUUCUGAAGCAUUCAAGCAGAGGUGUUCUGGUCUUUUAGAGCGGAAUGCAAUCUUCCAGCAGAGUGCAUUCAAAGACUUUGACAACCCGUCAACAGGAAAGCUCUUCUUGUGUGGUGCUAGCAGGGUUGGAAAGACCACAAUAAAAAAAAACCUCUGCCGCAUUGUGCUUCAACAGCAGGCAUUGAGCUGCAACCACUUGUCUAUGCGACCACCAAACAAAAGCUGCUCAUUUGCGACCUGGCUGGACAGGAAGAGUUCCAUGCUUUCCACCAGUACUUUCUCAGAGGAAGUGAGAAGGAUCUCUUCUUGAUCGUAUGCAAGGUGGAGGAUGACAAUUGUGAGGUUUUCAAGCAGAAUUUGGUUUACUGGCUGAGGUUCAUCGCUUCACAUCAAUCAGCCUCACCCAAAAGGAAGCCCAGGGUCUUGAUUGCCUUGAAUUUUUUCACUCCAAAAUGCAACUAUGACCCAAAGGACGUGGUUUCUGCAAUAAUCUCUGACAAAGGCUAUGGGCAAGUACUUGAGUUUGGGACAGAUCUUUGUUUUGAGGUGGUGGCCACUCGAGUGAAAGAUUUAAGGGGGAUAAAAACCAUGUUGGGGAGUUGCUUGGAAGAACUGCUGUCAGCCCAGCAACAAAUACCACAGGAAUGUCUCAAAGCAAAGAGGAAAUUGGUACAAGGUGCCAGUCAGAAGAAGGUCAUACCCCUAGACAAAGUUGGUGAAAUCCUCUUGCCUAACAGUAGUUUCAAAAGUGACAAAUUGGAAAAAUUAGGUGGAAAAAUUACAGCAAAAUAUUGGGAACACAUGGUAGACUUCACUAUUUAUGUGAAUGGCCUGAAGGAACUUCUAAAGGUCAUCAAGUGAAGAGUUCUGAAGGUGUUGAAUUGAAUAUCCCACCAAACUGGCUCGAGAAAUUUGCUCCAGUACUUAAAUAUACAUUGAUCCUAUUAUUUAUUGGGGCCAAAGUUGGAGGACAUUUUGCUGGUAUUGGAGAGAUAGUGAAUGCAAUAGUGGAUGAGAUCAAGGGAAGCCUCAUAAGUUUUUUGGAUUCAUGUCUUCUCAAAAGCAAGCUAACUAACUAUCCCAAAGCAGAAGAUGUGCAAGAAAUAUUUAAACUAGUGACAACUAAAUUUGGGAAAGAAGAAAAACAUGAGAUAAUCAUGGAAAAAUAUUUUGUUCUUCAUCCCAUAAUUUUGGAGGGAAAACAAAUAUGGGUUUGCAAAGGUAUUUAGUAUUUAAGAUUUUUGUUUUAUCUAACAAACACCAUUCUAAAGCAGAUCAUUAAUCUAUAUUUUUAUGAGGUGCUCUAGCAAAAAGAAGGUAAAUAAAUAUGCUUUAUAUAGUUAUUACUAUAUAUCUUUGGUAUGAUUCAAGUAUAUUUUGUAGCUGAAGUUAAUGAGGUAAGUUUUAUAAAAUUAUUCUUUCCUAUUUAUUUUAAUGUUUCAGGUUCAUUUCAGUGUUGAAUAUUUAAUAUUUUAAGUGAAGGAAAAGCUACCAAAUAUUUUAUUUUUUAUCCCAUAAUUUGGAUGAUAAAAUAAUAUAUAUUUACAAAGGUAUUUUAUAUUGAAAUAUAUCUAUAGCGCACCUUAUCUCUCUCCCCUUAAGCCAACUGGAAAAGGGGCAAUUGCUUGAUGAGAGAGCCCUUAGUGGCUAUUUUAUCCCCAUUUAUCCCUCAAGGUUCCAAAGAUCCACGGUGACAGUAUAUUUAAAUCUCAUCCCAUGAUCACAUGUGUUACACUCACCCCCCUUCAGAGAUGUCAAUGUCCUCAUUGACUAUUGACUAGCAACCCCUACUGAGCUAAGGGGAACCAGCACCUCCAUUUCCGCACUCAAUCUACCAAUCCUUCCAUUGACUAUUGACUAGCAACCCCUACUGAGCUAAGGGGAACCAGCACCUCCAUUUCCGCACUCAAUCUACCAAUCCUUCCAUUGUAUAGACCAGCUAUUCCAUGUGAGGCAACUAGUCAUCCACCCGUACCGCAGUCCUACGGUGGAUACCUUCGUCCGUGGAUACUCCACACAAGAGGAAGGACAUCCGCAGUCCCACGGUGGAUACCUUCGUCCGUGGAUACUCCACACAAGAGGAAGGACAUACGCAUGGAUGCCCAAUACGUACGAUUUCAAAUUUAGGGGUAGGAAUAUACCUUGCUCAAGGGUAUAUUAUACUUUUAAGUAGCCACUAAUCAAUGAGAAUCGAACCCGCGCCAUUUGCUCCGAUACCAACUGUAGCGCACCUUAUCUCUCUCCCCUUAAGCCAACUGGAAAAGGGGCAAUUGCUUGAUGAGAGAGCCCUUAGUGGCUAUUUUAUCCCCAUUUAUCCCCCAAGGUUCCAAAGAUCCACGGUGACAGUAUAUCCAAAUCUCAUCCCAUGAUCACAUGUGCUACAAUAUCCAUGAUUUUAGUUUUAUCUAACAGAGGCUAUGUAGGGCAUUUAAAGUAAAUCAUUAAUUAUAUAUUUUACUCUUCAUCCCAUAAUCCUGGAUGAAAGAAAAAUAUGGAUCUGCAAAGGUAUUUAACAUUUAUGUUUUUAGUUUUAUUUAACAAACACCAUUUUAAAGUAGAUCAUCAAUAUAUAUUUUUACGAGGUAGUUUGGAAAUAUGAAGAUAGAUGAACAUACUUUAUAUAAUUAUUACUAUAUGUCUUUGGAAUGAUUGGGGUAUUUUUUUUUAAGAAAAGUUGAUGAAGUAAGUUUGCAUUAUUGCUCUAAAAUAUUCUUUCAUAUUUAUUCUAAUGUUUCAAAUUUAUUUCAGCGUUGAAUUUUUAAUAAUCCAAGUGAAGGAAAAACUAAUCAAAUGAUUUCAUAUUAAUGAUAUUUCAAUAUGAAAACUAAAAUUGUGAAAGAAAUUUACCAAAAGACAAUUAUGGCCAAAUAUUUUAAUAUCCAUCCUAUAACUUUGGAUUAUAAAAUAGUAUGGAUUUUCAAAGGUAUUUUAUAUUGAAAUAUAUCUAAGAUUUUAGUUUUAUUUAACAAUAACUAUGUAGGGCAUUUAAAAUAAAUUAUUGAUUAUAUUGAUUUUUGAGACUAUUUGGCAAGGCAAUGAUAAAUCAAAUGUCCUCUAUAUUGUUAUAGCUAUGGCAGAAUGUUAGUUUUACUAUGAUUAUGCUNNNNNNNNNNNNNNNNNNNNNNNNNNNNNNNNNNNNNNNNNNNNNNNNNNNNNNNNNNNNNNNNNNNNNNNNNNNNNNNNNNNNNNNNNNNNNNNNNNNNNNNNNNNNNNNNNNNNNNNNNNNNNNNNNNNNNNNNNNNNNNNNNNNNNNNNNNNNNNNNNNNNNNNNNNNNNNNNNNNNNNNNNNNNNNNNNNNNNNNNNNNNNNNNNNNNNNNNNNNNNNNNNNNNNNNNNNNNNNNNNNNNNNNNNNNNNNNNNNNNNNNNNNNNNNNNNNNNNNNNNNNNNNNNNNNNNNNNNNNNNNNNNNNNNNNNNNNNNNNNNNNNNNNNNNNNNNNNNNNNNNNNNNNNNNNNNNNNNNNNNNNNNNNNNNNNNNNNNNNNNNNNNNNNNNNNNNNNNNNNNNNNNNNNNNNNNNNNNNNNNNNNNNNNNNNNNNNNNNNNNNNNNNNNNNNNNNNNNNNNNNNNNNNNNNNNNNNNNNNNNNNNNNNNNNNNNNNNNNNNNNNNNNNNNNNNNNNNNNNNNNNNNNNNNNNNNNNNNNNNNNNNNNNNNNNNNNNNNNNNNNNNNNNNNNNNNNNNNNNNNNNNNNNNNNNNNNNNNNNNNNNNNNNNNNNNNNNNNNNNNNNNNNNNNNNNNNNNNNNNNNNNNNNNNNNNNNNNNNNNNNNNNNNNNNNNNNNNNNNNNNNNNNNNNNNNNNNNNNNNNNNNNNNNNNNNNNNNNNNNNNNNNNNNNNNNNNNNNNNNNNNNNNNNNNNNNNNNNNNNNNNNNNNNNNNNNNNNNNNNNNNNNNNNNNNNNNNNNNNNNNNNNNNNNNNNNNNNNNNNNNNNNNNNNNNNNNNNNNNNNNNNNNNNNNNNNNNNNNNNNNNNNNNNNNNNNNNNNNNNNNNNNNNNNNNNNNNNNNNNNNNNNNNNNNNNNNNNNNNNNNNNNNNNNNNNNNNNNNNNNNNNNNNNNNNNNNNNNNNNNNNNNNNNNNNNNNNNNNNNNNNNNNNNNNNNNNNNNNNNNNNNNNNNNNNNNNNNNNNNNNNNNNNNNNNNNNNNNNNNNNNNNNNNNNNNNNNNNNNNNNNNNNNNNNNNNNNNNNNNNNNNNNNNNNNNNNNNNNNNNNNNNNNNNNNNNNNNNNNNNNNNNNNNNNNNNNNNNNNNNNNNNNNNNNNNNNNNNNNNNNNNNNNNNNNNNNNNNNNNNNNNNNNNNNNNNNNNNNNNNNNNNNNNNNNNNNNNNNNNNNNNNNNNNNNNNNNNNNNNNNNNNNNNNNNNNNNNNNNNNNNNNNNNNNNNNNNNNNNNNNNNNNNNNNNNNNNNNNNNNNNNNNNNNNNNNNNNNNNNNNNNNNNNNNNNNNNNNNNNNNNNNNNNNNNNNNNNNNNNNNNNNNNNNNNNNNNNNNNNNNNNNNNNNNNNNNNNNNNNNNNNNNNNNNNNNNNNNNNNNNNNNNNNNNNNNNNNNNNNNNNNNNNNNNNNNNNNNNNNNNNNNNNNNNNNNNNNNNNNNNNNNNNNNNNNNNNNNNNNNNNNNNNNNNNNNNNNNNNNNNNNNNNNNNNNNNNNNNNNNNNNNNNNNNNNNNNNNNNNNNNNNNNNNNNNNNNNNNNNNNNNNNNNNNNNNNNNNNNNNNNNNNNNNNNNNNNNNNNNNNNNNNNNNNNNNNNNNNNNNNNNNNNNNNNNNNNNNNNNNNNNNNNNNNNNNNNNNNNNNNNNNNNNNNNNNNNNNNNNNNNNNNNNNNNNNNNNNNNNNNNNNNNNNNNNNNNNNNNNNNNNNNNNNNNNNNNNNNNNNNNNNNNNNNNNNNNNNNNNNNNNNNNNNNNNNNNNNNNNNNNNNNNNNNNNNNNNNNNNNNNNNNNNNNNNNNNNNNNNNNNNNNNNNNNNNNNNNNNNNNNNNNNNNNNNNNNNNNNNNNNNNNNNNNNNNNNNNNNNNNNNNNNNNNNNNNNNNNNNNNNNNNNNNNNNNNNNNNNNNNNNNNNNNNNNNNNNNNNNNNNNNNNNNNNNNNNNNNNNNNNNNNNNNNNNNNNNNNNNNNNNNNNNNNNNNNNNNNNNNNNNNNNNNNNNNNNNNNNNNNNNNNNNNNNNNNNNNNNNNNNNNNNNNNNNNNNNNNNNNNNNNNNNNNNNNNNNNNNNNNNNNNNNNNNNNNNNNNNNNNNNNNNNNNNNNNNNNNNNNNNNNNNNNNNNNNNNNNNNNNNNNNNNNNNNNNNNNNNNNNNNNNNNNNNNNNNNNNNNNNNNNNNNNNNNNNNNNNNNNNNNNNNNNNNNNNNNNNNNNNNNNNNNNNNNNNGUGCAUCAUUUACAAAACUUACACUCUCCAAAUCUCACUCGUAAGAGGUUGUUUACUAUAUUACCAAAAUUGUUAGUAACCUUGUGUAAAAUUGAUACCUUCUCCUUAAAUAUCAACAAUGGAUUGUAUUUCAUUUUCAUAUCUAACAUGGAAACAUUUAUGGAUGCUUUGUGGUACUAAGUAUUUACCAAAUGACCACUUAAUUUUAGAUUCAAUAUUUGUAUUACAAAGAAAAAAAAGCAAGAGAUGGAAUACUUGGAUUUUAUGGUCCAAAAGUAAUAAGAGUGAGAAUAGCACCAUUGGACUAACUAGAAUAUCUAAACCAAAUAACACUUGAGAUUCAUAAGUUGUCCUUGAAAGCCAAGAUAUCAACAAAAAGUAGUGAUCACAAGAAUAAUAGAAUAAGUGGUUGCAUAUGAAAUGUUGGAGAUGAGUUGAGACUACAUUCUCGAAAUAAAUAUUAUAAAUAGAGGAUGUUAUUAUUGUAGAUUUGCAUGUUUUGCAAAGGUGAUACAUACUUGUAUGACAUUUCUCCAAAAAAACCAUAAAUAAUAUCUAAAGAGUUUUGAGAAAAAAUUUAUCUUUCACAUUUGUAGUUUCCAAGUAUCAUGUAUGUUGUAUUUACAUUGUUUCCUAUAAGAGCCACAAUUUUCAAGAUUGUGAAUAAAAGUAGUAAGCCAUUGUUUUUUAGGAGAACAAUUCCUUGGAAAGCAAUAUCUAAAGCAAAUUGUUGAUAAUUAUCAUUGCAUCUACAAGUGAUGAAUAUAGUUAAGUGUUUGGAUUGCCAUUGAAUAAUCUAAGCCACAUUUUGGUUGUAAUGAGAUUGGAUAUUAUAUGGUUAAAGUUAACCUUGGUGAUAUUUCUAAUUUGAAGUGUUGAUUUCUCAUGAUUGUCAAGAAAAAGUUUUGAAUUUAUUAAUUUAAAAUAAUCUUGGUAAAACUUUAGAAGUUGGUCCCAAAAUUAAUAUUGAAACCUGCAACAAUUCUAAUUAUCAAAUUUUUACCUAUAAUAUGGAAUCAACAACUGCAUCUUUGGCUAAGGGAGUAAAAACUAUAUAUUUAAUAAAAAGUAAAAGAAUGAUUUUUCUCGAGGAGAGAAAUGAAUAAAUUUAUUGCAUCUCCACCUAUUUUGUAUUAUAUUUGUGAGCAAACUUUGAUUAGCACAAGUUAAGAAACUAUUUACUUGGUUGUAAGAGCACAUCACACUGCUCAUUUGGCCAUCUUAAAUGUAACUUUGGAAAAGCAGGUUAUAAGAGUUAAUCAAGUUUUAUUCACUCACCUAUGAAAAACUUACGAGUGAAAGCAUUUCACUCACUACAUAUUGAAAAGCAAAGAAAAUAAGCUGAAAGGAAGAGAGAUAAGUUGAAAUUAUACCUUUGCAUUGAAAUAAUUAUAAACUCUUAAAUUUGAAAUUCCCGGGAAGUCACCCAACCAAGAGACACUUAACCCUAAAUAUCCCAAGACCUUUAACCGAUUGAAAAAAUGAAUGCACUUGGAAAAUAAGAUAUAUUUUUAUUCAUAAGCGCUUUCCUUCUAUAUUUGAACCCUAUUGAUCAUCUUUCAAGUUAUUCUCUUUAAUUGUUUAUAGUAAUAUUAAUGCAUUUAUGGAUAAGCUUGUGGUUUUGUAACUAUAGACAAAAUUCUAGAACAUGAGACAAAACUUUACAUCUCUAAUCAAGUAAAAAAGUGUAGAGUUGAAUGAAGCUACAGUGAGUAUCAACAAUGGAAAAAUUGUAGUAGCUAAAGUAAAAUUGCCAAACUCUAGUGAGUAAGAAUUUUUCUCUUGUCUUUUUCAUAUGGCAGGGUGACACUAUGCAAUUCAGAUGAAGCAUCCUUGGAAAGCCUAGGUAAACAUAGUGAAUUUCCACUUGCAUUGCAAGAAUGCUUUGAUUAUAAGCACAUCUUGCUGUUUUUCUUCAGAACUAGUACUUGUGAUCUUGCAAAUUGCAAUUAAAGUACUUCGAUUUAGUCGGGUAUAGUUGCCGCAAAACAUCCUCCUCUGCUGCCGCAGUGCAAGUGGCCAAGCAGCACAAACAUUCAUUCCCAACAAACACUGAUUAGUUUACUCGUUUUGAAACAUUACCAGAUAGAUAGUGUGGUGCUGGAUUCAGGGGAGGUGCUCGUAACAAUCACGAAAGUUCCAGUUUGACUCCAAACAUCUCCCGUGUGAUCUUCCACUUGCAAGCGAUAUCUUGUUCUUCAUGUAUCAAUCAAAUGGAAGGGAAGUUGCUACCUCCAAAACUCGUUUGUUUCUUCUACAACAGUGUCGAUACGAUACGCGGAGUAAAAAAGGAAGCAAUCCAAAAAGAGGAUGUCCGUAAGAUCACUACAGCUUAACCUCACUCUCGCAACUUGGCUCGGUGGUCUCUUCAUGGAGGAAUCCAUGGCAGAAAGAGAAAGAUCGUCAAGUCCGAGCUUUUGCAAACGAGGGAGCGAUCGAGCGAAACGACGGCUGCCGCACACUGUGGAUUGAUCGAUAAGUCUCUAGCUGGAGACACGGAGAAUCCACCGAGCAUCUCAACAGGAACUUUCAUGAUCAUCAUCACGCGCUUCAAGCACGGCCUAGCUUAACAUCAACGACUUUGGGCUUGGCAAAGUUCUUUAUGUCUCUCUCUCUCUCUCUCUCUUGCUGCUUGCUCGUGGAUUUUUUAACGAAUUUCUUCGUCUUCCGUGUGCUGCCGGGCUUGAGGAAAUCUGUCCGAGAAACUGGGCAUGUAUCUUGUUUCCAGUUUGGGUUGCUUCGGACGACUUUCGUGCCGGUCGCCAGAGGAAAAAGAAUUGUCAUGGAAAAAACAAUGGAACCUGUAAGCGCUCUGGAUAACACGUUAGCUUGUCACAUCCAUGGCAAAAAGCUUAGACUUUGCUGGAUGAUCUGCGGCCUUGAUCUCAGGCUAAUGCCGUGCUGAUCACAUCAGCGAGAGGAAUUUAAAGACUUUUCCAGUUGACAAGAAGUGGUGGAGUGAUCGGGCAGUGAUCCAUCGACUUCGAGCGAAACAUGGCAUGGAUCGAAUCGUCCAAGUCCGAAUAGAAAAAGAAAAAGGACGAGAUGGAGAUGGAGGGAUCAAAGAAGUGGAGCGCGGCAAAGUCAAUCAAAGCCGGUGCCAUUUCUCUCUCCUCUCAGAUUUUUGCGCUCUCUCUCUCCUUCAAACUUUCUGUGUGUUUCUUUUGCUGGCAACAAAAACAAAGGCCACACAUGGGGAGCUAAAGAGGGAACAUGGACUCCCAGCGAACAAUAAAAAUAAGCAUUUUAGGGGCCCAAAACCUCUUGUCACUGGUGGACCAUGGGCCGAUUCCGGAAUAUUCUCCGGCAGCGAAUAUUCUAUUAUUCGCUAGGGUUAAGGCACCGGCAUCUAAGCUAUAGAGUCAAACCAAUAAUGGCACGAUGUAAAAAAGAAGAACUACUAGCAUUGUCAUCCCCUUAGUUUUUGAUUUCUAGGUUUUGCUAGAGUGGCGUUCUCUCUUUUAUUCUCUUUAACAAAGCCCAAUGAAUGGAGUUUCAAACGUCGUACCCCGCGUACUCUACGCGGGGUUGGUUGUCACAUAGAGGUGAUCAUGAGGAAGCACUACCAAGGAUUGGAGGCGUAUAAUAAACUAGAGAGAGGCGUAUGGUAGCGGUGGAGGCGUAGAGCGUACGGUGGCGGGUACGAGACCGCCGGUCCGUGGCUCGAGUCCGGCGCGGCGCGGCAUCCGCUGGUCCGGGUUCGAGCCCGGCGUCCCCCAGUGGUCCAUUUUAUGACCCAAACUGGAUUCCGACAAACUUAAAUUCGGGGAGCUGCUAAAUCUGGCAACAAACCGGUUAUAGCUAAAUUUGAGGCAGAUAGCUAAAUUGGCCGUAAGCCCGAAGGGCUGAAAAGGGCGUCCACGGUGGCUGGAUUGUAUAUCCAGAUGUAGCUGUGCCACGUGUCAAAAAGCCAGUGGACUUCCAUGUCAGAAACCCGACCUGGGGGAAUUGUACGGCAUUUGGAUGGAUAGCUAUUAGCUAGUAGUUGGCUAUGGCGAGGGGCGCUGCGCCUUUGCUCUUCUCUCUCUCGCCGAGCAAAGCGGGGAUCUUGAUGCGCUAGGGCAUCGAUUCUCGUUGAUCGUGUUGGCAGCGCCUCGCAGCGGUGGCGGCAUUGGGAUUAUGACGCUUGCCCGGGCAAUGUGUCGAAUUUGAAGGCGCUGCGCCACUGUGUCACGGGCGCGAUCGAGCGCGCGUCGACGGGGCAUCGAUGGAGCUAGGUAAUCACACAAGGGGCUCGCGUUGAAUCGAGCUUUUUCCUUCUUUCUCUCUGCUUCCCGUGAUCUUCCUCGCUUUUCCCAUUCGAUCCUCGGCUUUCCAUGGCGAAUUGGAGGUAAUCGCUCCGAAAUAUUCCCUCCUCUCGGAAGCGCUUGCUCGAAAUAUUUCCACUCCGAUCGAUCCGCAAGAUGGAGCUCCACGGCGGCGACCCGGACCUCUGCUAUGGCCUGGACGUGGAUCUUGUGGGAGACAACGAUGAGGCCUGGGCGAGGCGGUCGUCCAGGAUCACGAGGAUUUCAGCGACGACGACAUGGACGUGGACGAGCUGGAGAAGAGGAUUUGGAACGAUCGGCUGCGGCUCAAGCGGAUCAAGGACAAGCAAAAGGCCAGGGUCAACAACGCAUUCUCCUCGAAUCACUCGAAUCACAGCCAUGGGCAGCAGCAGCAGCAGCAGCAUCACGGCGGCCCAGCAGCGCAGCACCAGAAUCUGGGCAAUCUCCAGGAGCAAGCCCGGCGGAAGAUGUUGCGAGCCCAGGACGGGAUCCUCAAGUACACGCUCAAGAUGAUGGAGGUCUGCAAAGCCCAAGGAUUCGUCUAUGGCAUCAUCCCCGAGAAGGGCAAGCCAGUGAGCGGCGCCAGCAACAACAACCGCGUGAUGGAAGGAGAAGGUCCGCUUCGAUCGGAACGGCCCCGCCGCCAUGGCCAAGUACGAGGGCAUCUGCUCCAGAUCCGGCGGCGGCGCUGGCCAGCUCUCCGCCGCCGCCCCGACGCCACACACUUUCCAGGAGCUCCAGGACACCACGCAAUGCAGCACUGCGAUCCACCCCAGCGGAGGUACCCGCUGGAGAAAGGGGUGGCGCCGCCGUGGUGGCCGAGCGGCGACGAGGAGUGGUGGCCCGAGCUUGGGCUUCCAAAGGGGCAGGGGCCGCCGCCGUAUAAGAAGCCCCAUGAUCUCAAGAAGGUGUGGAAGGUUGGAGUUGUCACUGCGGUAAUCCGACACAUGUCCCCGGAUAUCGGGAAGAUCAGGAAGCUCGUGAGGCAGUCCAAGUGCUUGCAAGACAAGAUGACUGCCAAGGAGAGCGGGACGUGGAUCUCGGUGCUCAACCAGGAGGGCAGUGCUCGGGGAAUUUGAUCGGGCAGCAGCAGCAGCAGCAGAGCCACCACCACCAUCACCAUAGCCAGGUGAUUGUGAUGAGGAUAACCCUUGAGACAUUAGUAUGAGGCUGCCUUGGAUUGCUCUUCCAGGAAGAGGUCGAAGAGCAAGAAAACAAUGAGGAAGCACCGGAAUUUUGACCAAGUAUGACAGAGCUCGCGCGCUUGGGACACGGGCUUCUUGGUCUUGCUAGUGAGAACUCUUAAGUUCUUUUUCUUUCGUGAUUGAACAACAACAGUAUGAACGCUCCAGUGAUGGCGGAAUUCGAGGUAUAGAAACUCUGAAAAGGAAUUUGUGUGGAGCGACUCUUGAAUGUGAAACUUCUAUGUGAAGGGAAGAUCCCUUUACGAUUCGGCGGUAUCUCCGAAUGAGAGAGUGGUCCUCUUCGUGCGUUUCUAAGAGGCUACGAGGAUUGGGAAGGAAGACAAGUUGGAAACUAGUGAAAAGUCUAAAAAGAUUCGAGGGAUACUAUGCAUAUGCUUUUAGGGUUCUUUGCACAUUAGCUUGUAAUGGAGGGGGCGCGGCUCGCGAUCGUCUCCGAUCUCGAUGGAACAAUGGUACGCAUUGCAAUGCCUCUUCAAUGCGCUCUGGGCCGCAGAUUAUUUCCAUGACUCGCUGAAUGAGAGCGAGAACCAAACAAGGGGUGGGAUACGGCUGUUUGGAAGAGACUUCCAAGUUUCCAGAGCUUACAUUCCAGGUAGAAAAAUUCCAUAUCCUCUCUUUGAUUGUGUUUACAACGGUUUUCUCUAUCUCGUCCUGGCUUUUUUUUUUUUCUGUAGGACACAGCGACCUCACAAAGUCAGCUUCAAGCUGAAGAAGGCGGAAGCUCCUCGGGUUGUGGAGACACUGUUGAAGAGAUUGAUCAAGUGUGAGGCAAGUUUUUAGAGGAUCGUUCGAAGCUUUUGUGAUCUUUUUCUUUUUUGUUCUUCCAGUUGGAUGUAAAAAUCAUAUACAGCGGAGGACAGGAUAUGGAUGUUCUCCCUUGAGCAGCUGACAAGGGACAGCUCAUGAGGGAAGGCAGAGCUCCUCAGAAAGUUCUUGUGAUACUGAGCUCUUUGCCGUCAAAGACGUUUUUGGAGUGAUCGUAAGUUCUUGAAGUCGAUUGAUCACCCACUCACUCACUGACGAUCUCAGGUCGGGAAUGCGUUUGAAGAUCUUACGCAGUGGUACCUUGAUAGCCAAAGACAAUCCCAAGAUCUUUCGUGGCACUGAAAGAUGCGCUUCGGGAAUCUUACAAGCUAUCCGAGAGUUCAAGUUUGAUCCUUGUGUUUCGCCCAGGGAUGCCGACUUACUGAGCCAGCUCACUGUUUGAACACUUGAAAAGGCCAAUGGUAAGUUCCUCGUGUUUAGUAGUUUUGGAUGCUUGAGCAACGAAAUGGCUGGCAGGCCCCUGACUCAACGCUGGUCACUCCGUGGGGACUAGAAGACGAUCUUCGUAGAAGCGUGUCCCCUCCACGGUAUUCACAGGGGAAAGAACUUCUGUAUGUGGGUUGAUCGAAUUCGUGCGACGAAGGUUGGGGACGUUACUUGGGUUGUCAAGUUUGAUAAGUGGCAGCGAACGGGUACGUCAAGUUCUUUCUGAGUCAUAUGCAUUAUUUUAUUGCUGGUGCAUUCCAGACGAAGAGCUGAAUUAUCGCUUGACAACCGCCGUGUGUUUCAAUAUGAGGUGGCGUUCUUAUCGCUUUGUCUUGGUGGAGUUAUUCAGCUUUGCUUCUCUUACAGGAUGGCAUGCCUUAUGCGAGUGCAUUACGAAUCCACGAAACGUGGCUUGAUGGUUAUGCGGGAAGACCUUUGCUCCUAAUGUAGGAGGCACAGCCAACGAUAGGCGAAAAAAUAAGCAGGGACGAGUCAUCGUCCAGGUAAGCGUGUUAAAGUUCUCAGCUCUGGAAUCUAAUUUAGUGGAUGCUGCUGUGUGUGCAGUGGCAUACAAAUUCCAGGUUUACUGAGAUUGAUAUAUGGUGAAGGAAAACGAGGGUAUGUUUACACAUUUAUACUCAUCCAUUCAUGGUGGUUGCUGUAGAACAGGGUGACAUCAGGAUCAAAAGCGAGAAUCAAGCACACUCAGGUCGGAACGACAGGGAUCAAACUCAUCAGUAGCAACGGAGAGGUUUGUAUUCUGGAUUUAAAUCGCGUGUCUCAGCAAGCAACAGCAAAUGGAAGGAGAAAAAACCCGGCGGGUUGGGGUCCACGUCGUCAAUAAAACGAUGCGGAUCAAUGUUAAAAACCCACAGACUGGUACGUGAAAUGCUUUACAGCCAGAAGUUUUGGCUUUCUUACCGAAGAAUUGUGCAGAAUCUGGCAAGGAAAAGGAAAAGUAUAAUCGGGCCACUAAGAAGGUGGAGCAUUGCGAAUGGAAGAUAAGCUAAAAUGCAUUUAUUUUCGUUCUCUUUCUUUCUGCGUGGUAUGGCGGACUUCUCUCAGCAUAUCCCGAGCUGCAUAUCCAGUGAUUCAAAGCAAAGUUCUCACCCUUAUACCCCCCUUUGAUGAUAGUCGGGCAAUUAUCACACCACUAUUCUUCCAUGUCUUGUGUGUCUCUAGUCGACCAACCAGAGUAUAAAAUGCGACCACCACCUUCAUUGCAAACUCCCCCCGCUCCCUCUUCCUCUCGCAGAAGGAGAGAAGGCUCCAAGUUUUUGAGUGAGCAAAGGGCUCUCACCUCGAGAACUCGACAAGCUCUCUCGAUUCCAAGCUUGGCUCCUUCGGUUAUUCUUCUCCUCUUCGUCCCCUUUCAAGAGUAAGUUUUUUCUUUGCUUUCGUAGUUCUGAGCUUGCGAUUCUUUCAGUUUGGUUGCGCCAGCAAUCGGGACUCUGACGAAACAAAACGCUCCAUAAGCGUGAUUUCCAGAAAGAGUACGUGCCUCGCUUCCUUCCAUGCUUUAGAUGCUCAAAUGAUUCUUUCAUUCCCUUUCGCUCGCAUAAAUUACUCGUGUUGACAAGAAAAGAGUUGAAGUGUGUGAGAGUGUGUGUAAGUGUGUAACUUACGGCAGCUUCUUUUCAUGUAGAUUCCCCUGCAUUCCCUGUCCUUUUGUUUCCUUUUUAAGUUCCAUAGGCCAAUGGAUCGCUUGCUUCUUCUCUCCUCUUGCACUCUGCUGCGUCAGUUUCACUCGGGAAAACGUGUUCUUAUGUAAUUGUUCGCUGGCCUCGGUGAGAAACGAAGGCUUUCCCCCUUUUUUCCAGAGAUGAUCUUAAGGCGCUGUUUUCUUGUGAGAAUUGGUGGUGCUCCUCCCCAGCACAAUGCAUUUGAUGAUUCCACGCCACCAUUUGUCUCGUCAUAUGCUCACUGCCACUGUUCUUCCUCUGCUUCCAGAGCACAGGCGCCAGAAAAGUUUGAAGAGGCAUUCUGAACUUGACACCAUUUCCUCCAGGUAUUUCAUCUCUUGCUUGAUCGUUUUCUUGACGAUGUUCGCCUCAGGUAAUCCAAGCUUUCAGACAUGGUGAAGUUCCAGAAGCAGCUGGAGGGCCAGCUCGUCCCAGAGUGGCGGGUGAAGUACUGCGACUACAAGCAGCUCAAGAAAGUUGUCAAGAGAAUCAAAAACCAGAUCCUACAUACCAAGAACCAGCAGCACAAGGUGUUCGAUCCAAAUGUCUUCUCGGUUGACAAGAGCAAGCUUCAAAACUUGCUGCAAAAUCCCAGCGCCAUCCUGAGCAGCUGCUGCGAACAAUCCAUAUCCUCCGAAACGUCCAUGGAUGUUCUGGACUGUAAAGACAAAACAAAACCCUUCAAUACGAUCAGGUUGUGCACAAGACGAGAAUUGGAGAUGGCGAGGAUUUUUACGAGACGGAGCUGUUCGGAACUCGAUCGGAUCACGAAAAGAGCUUCUUUUUCGGCCUUGACGAUCAGCUCAACAAAGUGGACAAGUUUUUUAGAUGCAAGGAAGACGAGUACGAUGCUCAAGCACGGCAACUUCACAUCCAAAUGGAAGAGCUCAUCCCUAUGCAAGGUUCGUUCUAGCAGCCUCUAAUUCUGUGGCACUUAACUUGGAAUCGUUUGAUCUCUGCCAUGUUGUAGAUGACGAAUCUCAGAGCUUGAAGGGGAGCCCGGCAACAAAGGAAAGGUUCAGCGAGCAGCCAAGAUGCUCCAGACGGCCUUUGUCGAAUUUUAUCGUGGGCUUCGACUCCUAAGAAACUUCAGGUGAAUGACCUCUAUACGAUUGAUCCAUGUUCUCAAAGUGUUGAAAACUUACUUGGCAGCUCCUUGAACAUGAUGGCAUUCGUCAGGAUCCGCAAGAAAUAUGACAAGGUACUUAUGGAAAAUGGAAAAUUACUGCAGACUUCUAAAAAGGUUUUUUAAAUUUUCAGGUGACUGGAGUCUGGCAGUUAUCUCAAGAUGGUCGAAAACUCUCACUUUGCAACGUCGGACAAGGUGUGAAGAAAUUUUCCUUUGAGGGUCUUGCUGAUGGACCGCGUAGAGAGAGUGUUCACUCUGCACUUUACGAAAGGCAAAUGAAAGCAAGCCAUGGAUAUCUCAGGCCCAUACACUCUGCGAGCAAUCAUGGAAAUAUAAACUUUAUCAGGCCCAUACACUCUGCGAGCAAUCAAACUUUAUCCUGGGUAAGAGCAGGAUAUCCAUUUCAUGCAUUCGGAUCGUGGUUAUUAAUUAACCUUCUAUCACCAUUGAUGAUGCGACGCAGAGAUUGUAUACUAGUGGUUUCAUGGCAAUGGCAUUGCCUCUAGAAAAGGAAAGCACUCACCAUACCUUUGGGAAUAACUGUAAUCUAUUCAUUUAAUUUUCAGCUAGAACUUUCAGAGAUCACGGACCUUAUCGUUUCUUCUUGCUGCGCUCUUUGGAAGGUUUGGUAGCCUCCUCUUCGGCGUUGUGGUCGGCUUCAAGUCUCGCGAGCCGCAAAUCAAACAAUGCUGUUGUGAGGAUUCCUUCUUGAGACACCACUUUACCUUGUCAGCGUGUCUCUGCCAAGUCAAAUCCAUCCUUCCUGAGCUCCUGAUAGAUGCAAAGAGCAUGAAGAACGAGCGAAAGAAAACCUGCGUUGUCACCUUUCCAGUGUGUUGGGUGUGAUCGUAAGGUGCCAUUUGCCAAUACAUGAUCGUCCAAGAGAAAAAAUCUCUCAGCGUUUCUCCAGGCUGAAAGACAAAUCAAUAACAGAACAGGAAGAUGAACUACUAUCAGCACUCACCAAAAGUGUUUGUUGGGAAUCAGCCAGGCCCAGCUCGGAUCGAUCUUUAAUUUCCGUGCUUUCUGUGUCAGCUUUUUGCCUUCGCCCCUAAGAAUAGCAGCUGCCUCUUCACAGUGACUCCACUGCAUCCUAGAAUACAAAAGGAAACCGACAAGUUUUCUUACAUCCUUCUUUUUUACUACCUCGUCAUCGUCCUCUUCGUCUUUUCCUUUAUUAAUCGAUCCAGCAUCACUGUUGUCACCAUCAGUUUCGCCUUUCUCCUUACUAACUUCAAUCCACGCGCUUUGUGUUUCCUGCUUGAGACAUUAGUAUGAGGCUGGAUGAUGGCUUGAUCAUACUAACCUCAAUAAUGCUCGAAGGUCCAGCGAGGAAAGGUCGUCGUGUCACUUUUUUUUUUGCCGACUUCUUUCAUACCUCCAUACAGAAACAAAGUAUCCUUUCCAACGACCAUUCCAGCAUUUAUUCUUCCACAAGGCAACAACCUUCAAGCAGAACGCUCAACGUUGAGACGCAUUUUCCACAUUUGGAUCAACCACUUUCUUCUGCUUUGGAUGCACACUUAACCACUACACAAUCUCAGAUUGCCAUACCUUAAUCUUUAGGCUCUUUGCUCCAAAGGAUACCUGCGAGCGAUGGUGCUUAGAUAAUUUUAAAAAAAUCGACGAGAUACAAACCAUCUGGAAAGCAUAUACAUCUCGAUCAUAAAAACGCUGUGCAGGGAAUCACCUGCAAAAGCCAUUAGUUUUUCCAACGCAUGCAUUGAAACCGUACUCAUCAGCAUCAACUACACCACCAAACAAGAUGUGGACAAAAAUCCUGCUCUUGGCCAGGAGCCAUACCGGAUUUUUUCACCUUCACAAAACACAUUGAAAAACUAAAACUCCAAACGAGAAUGUAAAACAAGCAAACCUUGUCCCACUCCCAAUCCGUGGAUCUAACGUCCACAUAUCUGCGAGCACUACACCUUUGUCGGAUUGAUCUUUGUCAGGGGCAGGCUCUUUGAAAUAGCCACCGUACAAGAAAAUCUAGAAAAGAAAAAAUGUUCACAACACGCAAAACUAUACUUUUAGUAGACAAAUACCUCAUCUAAAUAAACAGCAAGCUGAGAACCAGUUCCAGCUGAAGGCCAGGCAGCUCCAAGCUUGGGUUUUAUCUCUUGCCACUGCAAAAGGAAAUCAGUUUAGUUGUGAAAAAACAAGGAAGAACGAUGAGCGACAGAAACAAACCUUAUAAUCUUUCAAUCGAAUUCUUACGCACAGAGCAAUUGCAUUGUGGGGAAGGAGCUGCUACAUUCUCUUCGACAUGAAUUUCGCUCUUCUUUGCUUUCUCCUCGUGGAGUUUAGCCUGACAAGAAGGAAAACGAUUGAGAGUCUUUGGCCAGUGCUUUGCUUACCAAGAUCGCAUCAAUAUCAUCCUCGUCCCACACCUUCUUCUCGUCGCGAUGAGCUCGCUUCUCCGCCGCCUUGGCCGUCUUGCUCGAAGAACCCUAAAACCUAAAUUAACUCUUGCUUGUACUGUCCGCUUUGCUUCCAUACGAUGGCUUUGCUUCCACAGCUGGCAUAUGCUUUGCUUUUCUUCCACAGCUGGCAUACUUUCUUUAGUGCUUUGCUUCCACUGCUGGCAAGGUUCACUUUUACAAGUUUACUCGUGCUCUCCACUGCCCCUUCGAUCCAGGGCAAACUUCCAUGGAGGAGGAGUGGAUCGGCUGUUUCUCUGUCAAGGCGGUCAAGGAGGCUCUCGCAGCGAAGCGGGACAACAAGUGGCACUUCAAUGCGAUUCGGUUUUAUUGUGGGCACAUCUGGAGGCUGGAGGCGCUUGACGCAUCCAAAGGUGAGUUUGUUGAUGAGGUGAGUGCUACCGUCCAGUGGUUUGGAGGCACAGAGGAGGAUCUGAUUGGUGUGCUCAACUGGUACAUUUCAAAUCCACCGAGUUUAGACAAGGCUCUGGAUGUGGGAGAUGCUCCUGGUGAUGGCAGUUCGUCUGCUGCUGCUGCUGCUCACAUUGACAUUCUCAAGGCCGCUUUGGUACCACAGCUCGACAUCAGAUUCAUCCACUUCGCUGCCAGGGUCGCUUGUAGGUUGGGCAUUCCCAGUGAUCGAAUGCAAAGGGUGGCAGAGGGCAUUGCUCCUCCUCAGCAGGGACAGGAUAUUCGCCAGAUUGAGGUGCAGAGGUUUGCAAAGCUACUGACGAUGACAGAGGAAUUCAAGGUCUUGAAAGUGCUAGUAUUCCAUUGGGUAGGCGCAGACAUCCUCACACCACCUCAGGAGCUUGAGUUGGCCUUUGCUCAGCUCGACUGCUUGACAGAGCUCUGGUUGCGCCAUGUUGGGAACCCAGAGACUCUCCUUAGCCAACUCCUUAGGAAAGCAGGAAACAACUUGAAACGUCUCGAAUUGCUGGCGAACAGGAUGACAGUGGAAGGAUUUGGGAAAUUGAGUAGGGAUCUGGCAAGUCAGGAGUGCAAGGUGGAAGAGUUAGCCAUCCUGGAUGAGGGCAUUGCCAAGGAAGGGUGGGAACAGGCAUUUCAGAAUGGCAUUUGCAAUAAGCUAGUGGCACUGCAGGCAUAUUCGUUUCCAGAGGGGGCAGGUGAAGCACUCUUCAAGGCACUCACGAGUCCAAACUGUUCGCUGCAAAGACUAUACCUAUUUUGGGGUACUGAUGCUGGAGUGUUGCCAUGGGUAUGCAAGGCUCUUCAGGAGGGCACCAGCCUGUCAGUUUUAGAUUGCCGAAGUGAGGACCUGAGCAAUGCAACGGGCCUGGGUGAGGCCCUGAGCAGCGCUAAGUGUGGCUUGAAGGAACUCAGCGUUACACUUUAUCCAGGUGAUGGUGGUGGAUGGUUGGGCAAAGCGCUACAAAAUCCCAAUUGCAAGCUGAUCAAGCUUGAUCUUCAUUGUCCUGACGAGGGAGGAGGAAUGGUCGGUGACAGCAGUCUGUGGUCAGCUCUCUCAAGUCCACAUUGUAAGCUGCGCCAUUUGAAAAUAUGGGGUAGCACGGGAGAAGAUGAGUUAACGUUGGAGUUUGCUAAGGGCAUAGAGAAGAGCCAACUGGAGCAUUUGAGUAUAAGGAACUGCAAAAUCACGAAUGAGGAGCUCUUUUGGAAAGCUAUCACCAGCUGCAAGUCUCUGAAAGCUUUGUCAUGUGACUCGGAGCUGCCAUGGAGGUGCCUUUUGGGAAGCAGCAUUGAAGACUUACAUAUUCGAUUUAAGUCAGAAUUUGAAAAGCUGGAAGAGCUUUGCCAGUUCCUGGGGGAUCCAAAAUGCAAGGUGCGCAGAUUCAGGGCUCCUUAUCUUAGAAGUGAUGCACAGAAGAGACAAAUUCUGGCUGCCCUGGAGGAAAACUACCAAAGCCUCGUGGAAGAGCUUGAUAUAGGCAAUGAUUCCGAAGCUUCUGAAGCUUUCAAGCAGAGGUGUUCUGGUCUUUUAGAGCGGAAUGCAAUCUUCCAGCAGAGUGCAUUCAAAGACUUUGACAACCCGUCAACAGCAAAGCUCUUCUUGUGUGGUGCUAGCAGGGUUGGAAAGACCACAAUAAAAAAAAACCUCUGCCGCAGAGUGUCUUGGUUUCCAUCAUGUCUCCAAAGGCAUGCUUCAACAGCAGGCAUUGAGCUGCAACCACUUGUCUAUGCGACCACCAAACAAAAGUUGCUCAUUUGCGACCUGGCUGGACAGGAAGAGUUCCAUGCUUUCCACCAGUACUUUCUCAGAGGAAGUGAGAAGGAUCUCUUCUUGAUCGUAUGCAAGGUGGAGGAUGACAAUUGUGACGUUUUCAAGCAGAAUUUGGUUUACUGGCUGAGGUUCAUUGCUUCACAUCAAUCAGCCUCACCCAAAAGGAAGCCCAGGGUCUUGAUUGCCUUGAAUUUUUUCACUCGAAAAUCCAGCUAUGACCCAAAGGAGGUGGUUUCUGCAAUAAUCUCCGACAAAGGCUAUCGGCAAGUACUUGAGUUUGGGAAUGACUUUUGUUUUAAGGUGGUGGCCACUCAAGUGAAAGAUUUAAGGGGGAUAAAAACCAUGUUGGGGAGUUGCUUGGAAGAACUGUUGUCAGCCCAGCAACAAAUGCCACGGGAAUGUCUCAAAGCAAAGGGGAAACUGGUACAAAGUGCAAGUCACAACAAGGUCAUACCCCUAGAUAAGGUUGGCAAAAUCCUCUUGCCUAACAUCAGUUCCAAAAACAUAGAAGCCAGAAAGAACGUUGUUAAAUUCGUCUUGCAAUUUCUACAUGAUUGUGGAGAUGCAAUUUACUUUGGCUUGGGACAUGAAGAGGGUGACAUUGUGUCUCAAUUUGUCAUCUUAGAUGUCCAAUGGUUUAUGAGGGAUGUGGUGCAACUCUUCAUACCUACAGAGAAGACUAGCAAACUCAAAAGUCAAAUGGAUACACACCAAGUUAAAUAUCAAUUGCAAGAACAAUGUGGGAACCAAGACAAAAUAGUGGAGUGCAUUCUUGGAGUGCUCCAUGAGAUGGGAGUGAUAUUGCCUUGGGAUGAUACAUGGGAUGGGAAUUGGCAUAACUUGCCCAAAGAGUUAAUAAUGCCAACACUAUUGCAAGAAGAAUAUUCACCUCCAGAAUAUUUAUUAUUGCCAUCAGUGCCAAUUGACACUCAAAAAAACCACAACUACUGGGGCAGGAGGUUUGAAUGCAAAGACAAGGACUUGAAAUUGUUUCCUGCAAGUAUUUUCACAAAGAUCCAAGUUAAACUUUACAAAUUAAGCAAGCAAGGUAUUAGGCUUGGGAAUGGAUGGGUGGCUUUGAAAGAAAACCUUAUCGAGACAAUUGUGAGAGUUGGGGGAGACACAAACAAUUGGAAAGAUAGGCAAUGGGUUGAUGUCAUCAUUUAUUACCCAAAAGAGGUAGAGAAUGCACCAAGGCCAGAUUUGGAAAAAGAAGCUGAAGGAUGGAUGGAAAAAAUUAGAAAUUGCAUUAUUGGGGUAUGUAUGGAGGAUUGCCCAUUUUUGGAAAUUGAAGAAAAUGUGAUAAGGCGUGGUUAUGUGUGGAGAAGGAUACUAAAUAAGGUAGGUAAACCAAAAUCAUGGGAUGCAGUUAUUUGUCCACUAAAGCAAAUCAAAUAUGAAGCAAGAGAAAGAGGUUUAGACUACUCCCACACUUUGGAAUUAUUCACAUGAAGCAGAGAGUUGGGAUGUGAUUAGCGAUUUGAAGGUCUCAGAUGAGAAUGCUUUGGCUAAGCUAUUGAUGCCUAAUGAGCAAAAACAUGAAGUGGUGAAUAAGUUUGUUGAACUUCAUGAACUCUUGAAGGACUAUGAGGAGGUUGGAGAAGUCACAAUUCCAAGGCAUCAUCAGAUGUUGUUGAGUUUCCAAACAUUGAAGACCCAAAACUUGAUGCAAUCCUCAGAUAUAUUAAGAAGAUGUUUGAUAAAAUGGAGAACCGUUUUAACAAGUUGGAUACAAAACUUAAUGACAUUGAAGUAAGCGUUAACGAGCUCAAGAAUGGAAUCAAGUUUAUCAUGGAUAAAGUGAAUGCAAUCCAUACAACGUGUUUUCAAGUAUUAUUGAAAUUGGAGACAGAUUGCCCAAAAUAUCCAUAUAUUCUUGAUGAGAAUAAUAGGUGGAAAAAUUAUAGCAAAAUACUGGGAACACAUAGUAGACUUCACUACUUGUGUGAAUGGCCUGGAGGAACUUAUACUCAGGGAAUUAAAGGUCAUCAAGUGAAAAAUUCUGUAAGUGUUGAAUUGGAUCUCCCACCAAACUACAUUGAUCCUAUUAUUUAUUGGGGCCAAAGUUUGAGGACAUUUUGCUGGUGUUGGAGAGAUAGCGAAUGCAAUAUUAGACGAAAUCAAGGGAAGCCUCAUAAGCUUUUUGGAUUCAUGUCUUCUCAAAAGCAAGUUAACUACAAAUCCCAAAGCAGAAGAUGUGCAAGAGAUAUUUAAGCUAGUGACAACUAAAUUUGGGAAAGAAGAAAAAUGGGAGACAAUCAUGGAAAAUUAUUUUGCUCUUUAUCCCAAAAUCUUGGAGGGAAAACAAAUAUGGGUUUGCAAAGGUAUUUAGCAUUUAAGUUUUUUGUUUUAUUUAACAAAUACCAUUCUAAAGCAGAUCAUCAAUCUAUAAUUUUAUAAAAUGGUCUAGCAAAACGAAGGUAAAUAAAUAUGCUUUAUAUAGUUAUUACUAUAUAUCUUUGGUAUGAUUCAGGUAUAUUUUGUAGCUGAAGUUAAUGAGGUAAGUUUGUAUUAUAGCUCCAAAUUAUUCUUUCCUGUUUAUUUUAAUGUUUCAAGUUUAUUUCAGUGUUGAAUAUUUAAUAUUUUAAGUGAAGGAAAAGCUACCAAAUAUUUUAUUUUUUAUCCCAUAAUUUGGAUGAUAAAACAAUAUAUAUUUACAAAGGUAUUUUAUAUUGAAAUAUAUCCAUGCUUUUAGUUUUAUCUAACAGAGGCUAUGUAGGGCAUUUAAAGUAAAUCAUUAAUUAUAUAUUUUGCUCUUCAUCCCAUAAUCCUGGAUGAAAGUAAAAUAUGGAUCUGCAAAGGUAUUUCACAUUUAAGUUUUUAGUUUUAUCUAACAAACACCAUUCUAAAGCAGAUCAUCAAUAUAUAUUUUUACGAGGUAGUUUGGAAAGAUGAAGAUAAAUGAACAUACUUUAUAUAAUUAUUACUAUAUGUCUUUGGAAUGAUUGGGCUAUAUUUUGUAAGAAAAGUUGAUGAAGUAAGUUUACAUUAUUGCUCUAAAAUAUUAUUUCAUGUUUAUUCUAAUGUUUCAAGUUUAUUUCAGUGUUGAAUUUUUAAUAAUCAAAGUGAAGGAAAAACUCAUCAAAUGAUUUCAUAUUAAUGACAUUUCAAUAUGAAAACUAAAAUUGUGAAAGAAAUUGACCAAAAGACAAUCAUGGCCAAAUAUUUUAAUAUCCAUCCUAUAACCUUGGAUUAUAAAACAGUAUGGAUUUACAAAGGUAUUUUACAUUGAAAUAUAUCUAUGAUUUUAGUUUUAUUUAACAAAGACUAUGUAGGGCAUUUAAAAUAAAUAAUUGAUUAUAUUGAUUUUUGAGAUUAUUUGGCAAGGCAAUGAUUAAUCAAAUGUCCUCUAUAUUGUUAUAGAUAUGGCAGAAUGUUAUUUUUACUAUGAUUAUGCUACAUUUCCUGAUAUAAGUUGAUGAGGUAUCUUUGCAUAUUGCUCUAAAAUAAUUUUUAUAUUUAUUCUGAUGUUUCAGUAUUGAAUGCUUUAAAAAAAAGCUACUCAGAUGAUUUUAUGUUAGCGGCAUUUUUUAUUUUGGCAUCUUUGGUAAGAAAAAUUUAGGAAUGAAGUUAAUUAACAUUAAUAAACCUUUUAAGGUAAUGCAUUUCAAAACUAAAUACAAGUGCUUAAUUGUUAUUUAUCAUCACAUACUGUAAAAGAUAACUUUAUAUUAUCUUUACCAACUUCAACUUAUUCUUUAAAUUAAUGUUUAGCUAAAAUAUGUUACAAACUACAGAUUAAAGACUUAUGAAAAUUGUCAUUGUUCACAAUUCCAUUUACUUGCUAAACUCUAUAUAGAAAUUUAUUUACUCUCCUCAAUUACAUAUAUAUGCCAUCUCAUAAAACCAAACACUGUAUUGUACUCUAACUAUUGUAAGCAAGUGUUUGAAUGACAAUAAUUUAACAGCAAAAGGUUUUUGAGUGUCUGUAGACAUCUUUUACAAAAUACAAAAUAUGUAUUAAACAAAACUUAUAAUUAUUUUAAAAAUAAAGUAUAAAAAUAUUUUUUACUAUGAAAUCAUUUGAAACACAUCAAGUGUUACUUCAGAGUAGCUCUAAUAAAAAUGCUUUCUAAAUAGUUAUUUUGAACAUUCUAGUAAAUAUUUCAUUUUUAAAAGGUUGUUUAAUUUUAAAUUGUUAUCUUUUUUGCUAGGUUCUUUACAAAGUUUAACUUAUAUUAUUUAUGGCACUAUAAUCUCCUGAAUCUAGGCUUUCUAGAAGGUCAUCUAACCCAAUACUAUUUAAAGAUGCUUAAUCUCAAAUAACCUAUGAUUUAUAACUAAUUGGAACAAAGGGUACAUUUUUAUAUUUAAAAAAAUAUUAAUAAUUUUUUAAGUUAUUAUUUUUGGUUGUUUACAAUCCAUCAUGGUUUUUUGCAAGUUUACGCUUUCAUAAAUGGAAGUUGAAAGUUGCGGCUCUUCUAAGAGCCCUGCUCUUUUAACACCCUACCCCUUGAGUUGAAAUUGGAGUAAACUAAACUUAUUAAAUAUUAAUCUUGACAUGUGGUGUUAAUCAAUUAAUAGAGUCACACCUUAUACUUCUCUAAUACCAAAUAUAAUUUUUUAAAUUUGGACUUCAUAAAAGGUUAUUUAGCCAUUUGGGUAUCCAAAAGUGGAAUUAAACACAUAGAGCAUUUAGACCAAUUACAAAGUUGAUGUGGUUACAAAAACUCAUCUUAAAGUUAGCAAACACCCAAAUUAAUAUUAGGGCUUAUAGAGAUUAUGAGUGAGACUCCUUUAAAUGAUCCUAAAGUAAAAAAAAAUUAAUCAUUUAUAAAGAUGCCGAAAGCAUGGUGAUGGUUGCGAUCACCACUACUAUAACAAAAAUGACAAGCUAUAAUUAUAGUAUACUCCUAUUUACAUUUCCUUGAUAAACAUUUAUGACAUGCAAAAAUUCAAAAAUAAACUUUAUCGAAACCUUUGCAAACUCAACCAAGUUUAUAAGCUAAAUGAAGAAGUUUGGCUUAAAGAUGUUUGCAUAAGCUCACUCCCAAUCUUUAUCUCAUUUUUGUUUAGAGAACAAACAUCUUAAUCAUUUAUUAUACCUUGUAAAUUGGCAAAAAAAAGCUUCAAAUUAUCAUUAAUAUACUGGUUUAUAUGUUUUUCUCAAAUUUUUGGGCUAGUAUUUAGUAUUGGGUUGCUAAGAUUUCAUGUUAAGCUAAGUAAUUUCUCAAGAGAAAAAUUUAAGUGAAUUUGAAAUAAACUCUUUUUAGACAAUAACUUACAAAAGAAGAAAGGGUAAGUCACUAUAUUAUUUAGAUAUGGAACUUGUUAAAGAGGAUCAGCUUGAUAAAAAAUAUAUGUAUUGAUUGAGUGGAGCUAAAUUAUUAAGCAAAGAUGAACAUUUGGCUAAAGCUUUGAUUUAUUAAUGAUUUUGUCGAGAUUGGGCAAAAUGUUAUUAUAAAUUUAUAGUUCAUUUUGUAAGUGAUUGGAUUAAUCUUUGUUGAUCUUUACAGUUGGACAAUCUCAAAAGUUUCCUCUUUUGCUUUUGAAGGAGAGCUUUGUUAGUGCUUGUACAAGUAAGUUGAGUAAAACAAUCCAAACACGAAAGGAAUCCACCUAACCGCUGCCAGGGGUAUAAAAAAAUUAUAGCUUUUCUUAUAAUUAUUUUUAGCUAUGCAUCAUUUACAAAACUUACACUCUACAAAUCUCACUCGCAAGAGGUUAUUUACUAUAUCACCAAAGUUGUUAGUAACCUUGUGUAAAAUUGAUAGCUUCUCCUUAAAUAUUAACAAUGGAUUGUAUUUCAUUUUCAUAUCCAAUAUGGAAACAUUUAUGGAUGCCUUGUGGUACUAAAUAUUUACCAAGUGACCACUUAAUUUUAGAUUCAAUGUUUGUAUUACAAAGAAAAAAAAGCAAGAGAAGGAAUACUUGGAUUUUAUGCUCUAAAAAUAAUAAGAGUGAGAGUAGCACCUUUGGACUAACUAAAAUAUCCAAACCAAAUAACCCUUGAGAUUCAUAGAUUGUCCUUGAAAGCCAAGAUAUCAACAAAAAGUAGUGAUCACAAGAAUAAUAGGAUAAAUGGUUGCAUUUGAAAUGUUGGAGAUGAGUUGAGAUUAUAUUCUCAAAAUAAAUAUUAUAAAUAGAGGAUGUUAUUACUAUAGAUUUGCAUGUUUUGCAAAGGUGAUACAUACUUGUAUGACAUUUCUCCAAGAAAACUAUAAAUAAUAUCUAAAGAGUUUUGAGAAAAAAUUUAUCUUUCACAUUUGUAGUUUCCAAGUAUCAUGUAUGUUGUAUUUACAUUGUUUCCUAUAAAAGCCAUAUUUUCAAAAUUGUGAAUAAAAGUAGUAAGCCAUUGUUUUUUAAGAGAACAAUUCCUUGGAAAGCAAUAUCUAAAGCAAACUGUUGAUAAUUAUCAUUACAUCUCUAAGUGAUGAAUAUCGUUAAGUGUUUGGAUUGCCAUUGAAUAAUCUAAGCCACAUUUUGGUUGUAAUGAGAUCGGAUAUUAUAUGGUUAAGGUUAACUUUGGUGAUAUUUCCAACUUGAAGUGUUGACUUCUCAUGAUUGUCAAGAAAAAGUUUUAAAUUUAUUAAUUUAAAAUAAUCUUGGUAAAACUUUAGAAGUUGGUCCCAAAAUUAAUAUUGAAACCUCCAACAAUUCUAAUUAUCAUAUUUUUACCUAUAACAUGGAAUCAACAACUGCAUCUUUAACUAAAGGAGUAUAUAUUGCACCCUUCAAAAAAAGUGAAGAACAUCAUAAUCAAAAACUAUAUAUUUAACAAGAAGUAAAAGAAUGAUUUUUCUCGAGGAGAGAAAUGAAUAAAUUUAUUGCAUCCCCACCUAUUUUAUAUUAUAUCUGUGAGCAAAUUUUGAUUAGCACAAGUUAAGAAAACUAUUCACUUGGUUGUAAUAGCACAUCACACUGCUCACUUAGCCAUCUUAAAUGUAACUUUGGAAAAAUAGGUUAUAAGAGUUUAUCAAGUUUUAUUCACUCAUCUAUGAAAAACUUACGAGUGAAAGCAUUUCACUCACUACAUAUUGAAAAGCAAAGAAAAAUGCUGAAAGGAAGAGAGAGAAGUUGAAAUUAUACCUUUGCAUUGACGUAAUUAUAAACUCUUAAAUUUGAAAUUCCCGGGAAGUCACCCAACCCAGAGAUACUUAACCCUAAAUAUCCCAAGACCUUUAACCAAUUGGAAAAAUAAAUACACUUGGAAAAUAAAAUGUAUUUUUAUUCAUGAGUCAUUUCCCUUUAUAUUUGAACUUUAUUGAUCGUCUUUCAAGUUGUUCUCUUUAAUUGUUUAUAGUAAUAUCAAUCUAUUUAUGGAUAAGCUUAUGGUUUUGUAAUUAUAGACAAAAUUCUAGAACAUGACACAAAACUUUACAUCUCUAAUCAAGUAAAAAAGUGUGGAGUUGAAUGAAGCUAUAGUGAGUAUCAACAAUGGAAAAAUUGUAGUAGCUAGAGCAAAAUUGCCAAACUCUAGUGAGUAAGAAUUUUUCUCUUGUCUUUUUCAUAUGGCAGGGUGACACUAUGCGAUUCAGAUGAAGCAUCCUCGGAAAGCCCAGGUAAAGUGGUGAAUUUCCACUUGCGUUGCAAGAAUGCCUUGAUUAUAAGCACAUCUUGCUGCUUUUCUUCAGGACUAGUACUUGUGAUCUUGCAAAUUGCAAUUAAAGUACUUCGAUUUAGUCGGGUAUAGUUGCUGCAAAACAUCCUCCUCUGCUGCCGCAGUGCAAGUGGCCAAGCAGCACAAACAUUCAUUCCCAAACACUGAUUAGUUUACUCGUUUUGAAACAUUACCAGAUAGAUAGUGUGGUGCUGGAUUCAGGGGAGGUGCUCGUAACAAUCACGAAAGUUCCAGUUUGACUCCAAACAUCUCCCGUGUGAUCUUCCACUUGCGAGCGAUGUCUUGUUCUUCAUGUAUCAAUCAAAUGGAAGGGAAGUUGCUACCUCCAAAACUCGUUUGUUUCUUCUACAACAGUGUCGAUACGAUACGCGGAGUAAAAAAGGAAGCAAUCCAAAAAGAGGAUGUCCGUAAGAUCACUACAGCUUAACCUCACUCUCGCAACUUGGCUCGGUGGUCUCUUCAUGGAGGAAUCCAUGGCAGAAAGAGAAGGAUCGUCAAGUCCGAGCUUUUGCAAACGAGGGAGCGAUCGAGCGAAACGACGGCUGCCGCACACUGUGGAUUGAUCGAUAAGUCUCUAGCUGGAGACACGGAGAAUCCACCGAGCAUCUCGACAGGAACUUUCAUGAUCAUCAUCACGCGCUUCAAGCACGGCCUAGCUUAACAUCAACGACUUUGGGCUUGGCAAAGUUCUUUAUGUCUCUCUCUCUCUCUCUCUCUCUCUCUCUUGCUGCUUGCUCGUGGAUUUUUUAACGAAUUUCUUCGUCUUUCGUGUGCUGCCGGGCUUGAGGAAAUCUGUCCGAGAAACUGGGCAUGUAUCUUGUUUCCAGUUUGGGUUGCUUCGGACGACUUUCGUGCCGGUUGCCGGAGGAAAAAGAAUUGUCAUGGAAAAAACAAUGGAACCUGUAAGCGCUCUGGACAACACGUUAGCUUGUCACAUCCUUGGCAAAAAGCUUAGACUUUGCUGGAUGAUCUGCGGCCUUGAUCUCAGGCUAAUGCCGUGCUGAUCGCAUCAGCGAGAGGAAUUUAAAGACUUUUCCAGUCGACAAGAAGUGGUGGAGUGAUCGGGCAGUGAUCCAUCGACUUCGAGCGAAACAUGACAUGGAUCGAAUCGUCCGAGUCCAAGUAGAAAAAGAAAAAGGACGAGAUGGAGAUGGAGGGAUCAAAGAAGUGGAGCGCGGUAAAGUCAAUCAAAGCCAGCGCCAUUUCUUUCUCUCCUCUCAGAUUUUUGCGCUCUCUUUCCUUCAAACUUUCUGUGUGGCUGGCAACAAAAACAAAGGCCACACAUGGGGAGCUAAAGAGGGAACAUGGACUCCCAGCGAACAAUAAAAAUAAGCAUUUUGGGGGCCCAAAACCGGACCACGGGCCGAUUCCGGAAUAUUCUCCGGCAACGAAUAUUCUAUUAUUCCUUAGGGUUAGGGCACCGCCCGAGUAAAAGGUGUUGCAAUAGAGUCAGACCAAUAAUGACACGAUGUAAAAAAGAAGAACUAUUGUCAUCCCCUUAGUUUUUGAUUUCUAGGUUUAGCUACAGUGGCGUUCUCUCUUUUAUUCUCUUUAACAAAGCCCAAUGAAUGGAGUUUCAAAACGUCGUACCCCACGUACUAUACGAGGGGUUGGUUGUCACGUAGAGGUGAUCAUGAGGAAGCACUACCAAGGAUUGGAGGCGUAUAAUAAACUAGAGAGAAGCGUAUGGUAGCGGUGGAGGCGUGGAGUGUACGGUGGCGGGUUCGAGUCCGCCGGUCCGUGGCUCGCGGCGCGGCAUCCGCUGGUCCGGGCCCAGUGGUCCAUUUUAUGACCCAAACUGGAUUCCGACAAAAACCGGUUAGCUUAAAUUAGAGGCAGAUAGCCAAGUUGGCGCCAAGUCCGCGGUGGCUGGAAUGUAUAUCCAGAUGUAGCUGUGCCACGUGUCAAAAGGUCAAUUCCCGACCUGGGUGGAAUUGUACGUCAUUUAGCUAUUAGCUAGUAGAUGGCUAUGGCGAGGAGCGGCGCCUUUGCUCUUCUCUCUCUCUCGCCGAGCAAAGCGGGGAUCUUGAUGCGCUAGGGCAUCGAUUCUCGUUGAUCGUGUUGGCAGCGCCUCGCAGCGGUGGCGGCAUUGGGAUUGUGACGCUUGCCCGGGCAAUGUGUCGAAUUUGAAGGCGCUGCGCCACUGUGUCACGGGCGCGAUCGGCGAGCGCAGCGCGCGUCGACGGGGCAUCGAUGGAGCUAGGUAAUCACACAAGGGGCUCGCGUUGAAUCGAGCUUUUUCCUUCUUUCUCUCUGCUUCCCGUGAUCUUCCUCGCUUUUCCCAUUCGAUCCUCGGCUUUCCAUGGCGAAUUGGAGGUAAUCGCUCCGAAAUAUUCCCUCCUGUCGGAAGCGCUUGCUCGAAAUAUUUCCACUCCGAUCGAUCCGCAAGAUGGAGCUCCACGGCGGCGACCCGGACCUCUGCUAUGGCCUGGACGUGGAUCUUGUGGGAGACAACGAUGAGGCCUGGGCGAGGCGGUCGUCCAGGAUCACGAGGAUUUCAGCGACGACGACAUGGACGUGGACGAGCUGGAGAAGAGGAUUUGGAACGAUCGGCUGCGGCUCAAGCGGAUCAAGGACAAGCAAAAGGCCAGGGUCAACAACGCAUUCUCCUCGAAUCACUCGAAUCACAGCAGCCAUGCGCAGCCGCAGCAGCAGCAGCAUCACGGCGGCCCAGCAGCGCAGCACCAGAAUCUGGGCAAUCUCCCCAAGCACAAGCAAUCCCAGGAGCAAGCCCGGCGGAAGAUGUUGCGAGCCCAGGACGGGAUCCUCAAGUACACUCUCAAGAUGAUGGAGGUCUGCAAAGCCCAAGGAUUCGUCUAUGGUAUCAUCCCCGAGAAGGGCAAGCCAGUGAGCGGCGCCAGCGACAACAUCCGCGCGUGGUGGAAGGAGAAGGUCCGCUUCGAUCGGAACGGCCCCGCCGCCAUGGCCAAGUACGAGGCGGAGCACGGCAUCUGCUCCAGAUCCGGCGGAGGCGCUGGCCAGCUCUCCGCCGCCACCCCGACGCCACACACUCUCCAGGAGCUCCAGGACACCACCCUCGGAUCGCUUCUCUCGGCGCUAAUGCAGCACUGCGAUCCACCCCAGCGGAGGUACCCGCUGGAGAAAGGGGUGGCGCCGCCGUGGUGGCCGAGCGGCGACGAGGAGUGGUGGCCCGAGCUUGGGCUUCCAAAGGGGCAGGGGCCGCCGCCGUAUAAGAAGCCCCAUGAUCUCAAGAAGGUGUGGAAGGUUGGAGUUCUCACUGCGGUGAUCCGACACAUGUCCCCGGAUAUCGAAGAUCAGGAAGCUCGUGAGGCAGUCCAAGUGCGACUGCCAAGGAGAGCGCGACGUGGAUCUCGGUGCUCAACCAGGAGGAGGCGCUGGCGAGGCAGUGGAAUUUGAUCGGGCAGCAGCAGCAGCAGCAGAGCCACCACCACCGCCAUAACCAGGUGAUUGUGAUGAGGAUAACCCUUGAGACAUUGCCUUGGAUUGCUCUUCCAGGAAGAGGUCGAAGAGCAAGAAAACAAUGAGGAAGCACCAGACAGAUCCAUUCGAGGUAUAGAAACUCUGAGAAGGAAUUUGUGUGGAGCGACUCUUGAAUGUUCUUUGCAGAUUUCUAUGUGAACGGAAGAUCCCUUUUACGAUUCGGCGGUAUCUCCGAAUGAGAGAGUGGUCCUCUUCGUGCGUUUCUAAGAGGCUACGAGAUUGGGGAGGAUUCUUGGAAGAGACAAGUUGGAAACUAGAGAAAAAUCUCAAAAGAUUCGUGGGAUACUAUGCAUAUGCUUUUAGGGUUCUUUGUAGAUUAGCUAAAGGAGAAAAUUCGCUAGGGUUUUCUUUCAUUUGUAAUGGCAGGGGCGCGGCUCGCGAUCGUCUCCGAUCUUGAUGGAACAAUGGUACGCACCGCUCGUUUCUUCUUCGAUGCGCUCUGGGCCGCGGAUUAUUUCCAUGACUCGCUUCUGGUGUUCUCGACUGGAAUAUCGCCGACGAUGUAUCGCCUGCUGAGGCGGGAGAGGCCGCUGCUCACGCCGGAGGUCACGAUCUUGUCUGUGGGGUACGGCGAUGCCAUGGUUCCAGAUUCUGGAUGAGAGCAAGAACUAAACAAGGGGUGGGAUAGGGCUGUUUGGAAGAGACUUCCAAGUUUCCAGAGCUUACAUUCCAGGUAGAAAAAUUCCAUAUCCUCUCUUUGAUGCUGUUUACAACGUUUUUCUCUAUCUCGUGCUGGCUUUUUUUAUUUUUUUCCUGUAGGAACAAACAGAACAGCGACCUCACAAAGUCAGCUUCAAGCUGAAGAAGGCAGAGGCUCCUCGGGUUGUGGAGACACUGUUGAAUUGAUUGAUCGAGUGUGGGCCAAGUUUUUAGAGGAUCGUUCGAAGCUUUCGUGAUCUAAUCCUUUUUCUUUUUUGUUCUUCCAGUUGGAUGUAAAAAUCAUAUACAGCGGAGGACAGGAUAUGCUUGAGCAGCUGACAAGGGACAGCUCAUGAGGGAAGGCAGAGCUCCUCAGAAAGUUCUUGUGAUGCUGAGCUCUUUGCCGUCAAAGACGUUUUUGGAGUGAUCGUAAGUUCUUGAAGUCGAUUGAUCACCCACUCACUCACUGACGAUCUCAGGUCGGGAAUGCGUUUGAAGAUCUUACGCAGUGGUACCUUGAUAAUGCCAAAGACAAUCCCAAGAUCUUUCGUGGCACUGAAAGAUGCGCUUCGGGAAUCUUACAAGCUAUCCGAGAGUUCAAGUUUGAUCCUUGUGUUUCGCCCAGGGAUGCCGACUUACUGAGCCAGCUCACUGCUGGGGACACCGAAGGGUUGAUCGGACGUGGAGUGGUGCUACUGUGUGAGAUGGUUACGAGGCGAGGUUGAAAGCUCCCACGAGGUGUUUGAACACUUGAAAAGGCCAAUGGUAAGUUCCCCGUGUUUAGUAGUUUUGGAUGCUUGAGCAACGAAAUGGCUGGCAGGCCCCUGACUCAACGCUGGUCACUCCGUGGGGACUAGAAGACGAUCUUCGUACAAGCGUUGAGAUUCUACGUCCCUCCACGGUAUUCACAGGGGAAAGAACUUCUGUAUGUGGGUUGAUCGAAUUCGUGCGACGAAGGUUGGGGACGUUACUUGGGUUGUCAAGUUUGAUAACUGGCAGCGAACGGGUACGUUAAGUUCUUCUUUCUGAUGCAUUAUUUUCUUGCUGGUGCAUUCCAGACGAAGAGCUGAAUUAUCGCUUGACAACCGCCGUGUGUUUCAAUAUAAGGUGGCGUUCUUAUCGCUUUGUUUUGGUGGAGUUAUUCAGCUUUGCUUCUCUUACAGGAUGACAUGCCUUAUGCGAGUGUAUUACGAAUCCACGAAACGUGGCUUGAUGGUUAUGCGGGAAGAUCUUUGGUCCUAAUGUAGGAGGCACAGCCAACGGUAGGCGAAAAAAUAAGCAGGGACGAGUCAUCGUCCAGGUAACCAAAUAUAUUCCAGGUUUGCUGAGAUUGAUAUAUGGUGAAGAAAAACGAGACAAAUGCGCACUCAGUGAUGGAGCCCGUAGUGCGACGAUCCAUGGUCGAGGUCGACUUACAACGCGUUGAUAAGUUCUACACUUAAUGGAAUGGCAUGUGGAUCCAAACGCACACGCGUGAUCGACAUUUGCGACAAGACGAGGGUAUGUUUACGCAUUUAUACUCAUUCAUUCAUGGUGUAGAACAGGGUGACAUCAGGAUCAAAAGCGAGAAUAAGAUACACUCAGGUCGGAACGACAGGGAUCAAACUCAUCAGUAGCAACGGAGAGGUUUGUAUUCUGGAUUUAAAUCGCGUCUCUCAGCAAGCUUUCGAUGAACAGCAAAUGGAAGGAGAAAAAACCCGGCGGGUUGGGGUCCACGUCGUCAACAAAACGAUGCGGAUCAAUGUUAAAAACCCACAGACUGGUACGUGCAAUGCUUUACAGCCAGAAGUUUUGGCUUUCUUAGCGAAGAAUCGUGCAGAAUCUGGCAAGGAAAAGGAAAAGUAUAAUCGGGCCACUAACAAGGUGGAGCAUCGCGAAUGGAAGAUAAGCUAAAAUGCAUUUAUUUUCGUUCUCUUUCUUUCUCCGUGGUAUGGGGGACUUCUCUCAGCAUAUCCCGAGCUGCAUAUCCAGUGAUUCAAAGCAAAGUUCUCACCCUUAUACCCCUCUUUGAUGAUAGUCGGGCAAUUAUCACACCACUAUUCUUCCAUGUCUUGUGUGUCUCUAGUCGGCCAACCAGAGUAUAAAAUGCGACCACCACCUUCAUUGCAAACUCCCCCUGCUCCCUCUUCCUCUCGCAGAAGGAGAGAAGGCUCCAAGUUUUUGAGUGAGCAAAGGGCUCUCACCUCGAGAACUCGACAAGCUCCCUCGAUUCCAAGCUUGGCUCCUUCGGUUAUUCUUCUCCUCUUCGUCCCCUUGCAAGAGUAAGUUUUUUCUUUGCUUUCGUAGUUCUGAGCUUGCGAUUCUUUCAGUUUGGUUGCGCCAGCAAUCGGGAUUCCGACGAAACAAAACGCUCCAUAAGCGUGAUUUCCAGAAAGAGUACGUGCAUCGCUUCCUUCCAUGCUUUAGAUGCUCAAAUGAUUCUUUCAUUCCCUUUCGCUCGCAUAAAUUACUCGUGUUGACAAGAAAAGAGUUGAAGUGUGUGAGAGUGUGUGUAAGUGUGUAACUUACGACAGCUUCUUUUCAUGUAGAUUCCCCUGCAUUCCCUGUCCUUUUGUUUCCUUUUUUAGUUCCAUAGGCCAAUGGAUCGCUUGCUUCUUCGCUCCUCUUGCACUCUGCUGCGUCAGUUUCUCUCAGGAAAACGUAUUCUUAUGUAAUUGUUCGCUGGCGUCGGUGAGAAACGAAGGCUUUCCCCCUUUUUUCCAGAGAUGAUCUUAAGGCGCUGUUUUCUUGUGAGAAUUGGUGCUCCUCCCCAGCACAAUGCAUUUGAUGAUUCCACGCCACCAUUUGUCUCGUCAUAUGCUCAUUGCCACUGUUCUUUUUCUGCUUCCAGAGCACAGGCGCCAGAAAAGUUUGAAGAGGCAUUCUGAACUUGACACCAUUUCCUCCAGGUAUUUCAUCUCUUGCUUGAUCGUUUUCUUGACGAUGUUCGCCUCAGGUAAUCCAAGCUUUCAGACAUGGUGAAGUUCCAGAAGCAGCUGGAGGGCCAGCUCGUCCCAGAGUGGCGGGUGAAGUACUGCGACUACAAGCAGCUCAAGAAAGUUGUCAAGAGAAUCAAAAACCAGAUCCUACACAGCAGCACAAGGUGUUCGAUCCAAAUGUCUUCUCGGAUGACAAGAGCAAGCUUCAAAACUUGCUGCAAAAUCCCAGCGCCAUCCUGAGCAGCUGCUGCGAACAAUCCAUAUCCUCGGAAACGUCCAUGGAUGUUCUGGACUGUAAAGACGAAACAAAACUCUUCAAUACGAUGAGGUUGUGCACAAGACGAGAAUUGCAGAUGGCGAGGAUUUUUAAGAGAAGGAGCUGUUUGGAACUCGAUCGGAUCACGAAAAGAACUUCUUUUUCGGCCUUGACGAUCAGCUCAACAAAGUGGACAAGUUUUUUAGAUGCAAGGAAGACGAGUACGAUGCUCAAGCACAGCAACUUCACAUCCAAAUGGAAGAGCUCAUCGUUAUGCAAGGUUUGUUAUAGCAGCCUCUAAAUCUGUAGCACUUAACUUGGAAUCGUUUGACGUCUACCAUGUUGUAGAUGACGAAUGUCAGAGCUUGAAUAACAAAGGAAAGGUUCAGCGAGCAUCCAAGAUGCUCCAGACGGCCUUUGUCGAUGCAAUCCCUCCAGGUAGUAAAGUUUAUGGACCGCGCAGAGAGAGUGUUCACUCUGCACUUUACGAAAGGCAACCGAAAGCAAGCCAGGCCCAUACACUCUGCGAGCAAUCAUGGAAAUAUAAACUUUAUCCAUUUCAUGCAUUCGGAUCGUCGUUAUUAAUUAACCUUCUAUCACCAUUGAUGAUAGGACGCAGAGAUUGUAUACUAGUAGUUUCAUGGCAAUGGCAUUGCCUCUAGAAAAGGAAAGCACUGACCAUACCUUUGGGAAUAACUGUAAUCUAUUCAUUUAAUUUUCAGCUAGAACUUUCACGGACCUUAUCGUUUCUUCUUGCUGCGCUCUUUGGAAGGUUUGGUAGCCUCCUCUUCGGCGUUGUGGUCGGCUUCAAGUCUCGCGAGCUGCAAAUCAAACAAUGCUGUUGUGAGGAUUCCUUCUUGAGACACCACUUUACCUUGUCAAGGACCGCCGGGUUUUUUCUCCUUCCAUUUGCUGUUCAUCGAAAGCUUGCUGAGAGACGCGAUUUAAAUCCACAAUACAAACCUCUCCGUUGCUACUGAUGAGUUUGAUCCCUGUCGUUCCAACCUGAGUGUGCCUGAUUCUCGCUUUUGAUCCUGAUGUCACCUUGUUCUACAGCAACCACCAUGAAUGGAUGAGUAUAAAUGUGUAAACAUACCCUCGUUUUCCUUCACCAUAUAUCAAUCUCAGUAAACCUGGAAUAUAUUUGUAUGCCACUGCACACACAGCAGCAUCCACUAAAUUAGAUUCCAGAGCUGAUAACUUUUACAUGGUCACCUGGACGAUGACAAGGACCAAAGGUCUUCCCACAUAACCAUCAAGCCACGUUUCGUGGAUUUCGUAAUACACUCGCAUAAGGUAUGCCAUCCUGUAAGAGAAGCAAAGCUGAAUAACUCCACCAAAACAAGCACUUGGACUGCCUCACGAGCUUCUGCUGCUGCUGCUGCCCGAUCAAAUUCCCCGAGCACUGCCUCGCCAGCGCCUCCUCCUGGUUGAGCACCGAGAUCCACGUCGCGCUCUCCUUGGCAGUCAUCUUGUCUUGCAAGCACUUGGACUGCCUCACGAGCUUCCUGAUCUUCCCGAUAUCCGGGGACAUGUGUCGGAUCACCGCAGUGACAACUCCAACCUUCCACACCUUCUUGAGAUCAUGGGGCUUCUUAUACGGCGGCGGCCCCUGCCCAUUUGGAAGCCCAAGCUCGGGCCACCACUCCUCGUCGCCGCUCGGCCACCACGGCGGCGCCACCCCUUUCUCCAGCGGGUACCUCCGCUGGGGUGGAUCGCAGUGCUGCAUUAGCGCCGAGAGAAGCGAUCCGAGGGUGGUGUCCUGGAGCUCCUGGAGAGUGUGUGGCGUCGGGGCGGCGGCGGAGAGCUGGCCAGCGCCGCCGCCGGAUCUGGAGCAGAUGCCCUCGUACUUGGCCAUGGCGGCGGGGCCGUUCCGAUCGAAGCGGACCUUCUCCUUCCAUCACGCGGUUGUUGUUGCUGGCGCCGCUCACUGGCUUGCCCUUCUCGGGGAUGAUGCCAUAGACGAAUCCUUGGGCUUUGCAGACCUCCAUGAGGAUCGCGUCCUGGGCUCACGACAUCUUCUUCCGCCGGGCUUGCUCCUGGGAUUGCUUGUGCUUGACGAGAUUGCCCAGAUUCUGGUGCUGCGCUGCUGGGCCGCCGUGAUGCUGCUGCUGCUGCUGCUGGCCAUGGCUGCUGUGAUUCGAGUGAUUCGAGGAGAAUGCGUUGUUGACCCUGGACUUUUGCUUGUCCUUGAUCCGCUUGAGCCGCAGCCGAUCGUUCCAAAUCCUCUCUCCAGCUCGUCCACGUCCAUGUCGUCGUCGCUGAAAUCCUCGUGAUCCUGGACGACCGCCUCGCCCAGGCCUCCAUCGUUGUCUCCCACAAGAUCCACGUCCAGGCCAUAGCAGAGAUCCGGGUCGCCGCCGUGGAGCUCCAUCUUGCGGAUCGAUCGGAGUGGAAAUAUUUCGAGCGCGCGCUGCCGAGAGGAGGGAAUAUUUCGGAGCGAUUACCUCCAAUUCGCCAUGGAUCGAAUGGGAAAGCGAGGAAGAUCACGGGAAGCAGAGAGAAAGAAGGAAAAAGCUCGAUUCAACGCGAGCCCCUUGUUGAUUACCUAGCUCCAUCGAUGCCCCGUCGACGCGCGCUGCGCUCGCCGAUGGCGCCCGUGACACAGUGGCGCAGCGCCUUCAAAUUCGACGGGCAAGCGUCACAAUCCCAAUGCCGCCACCGCUGCGAGGCGCUGCCCAACGAGAAUCGAUGCCCUAGCGCAUCAAGAUCCCCGCUUUGCUGCGAGAGAGAGAGAGAAGAGCAAAGGCGCAGCGCUCCUCGCCAUAGCCAACUACUAGCUAAUAGCUAUCCAUCCAAAUGCUGUACAAUUCCCCCCACUGCCUUUUUUACACGUGGCACAGCUACAUCUGGUGGAUGCCCUUUUCAGCCCUUCCGGCUUACGGCCAAUUUGGCUAUCUGCCUCAAAUUUAGCUAAGCGGUUUGUUGCCAGAUUUAGCAGCUCCCCGAAGCUGCCAGUUUGUCGGAAUCCAGUUUGGGUCAUAAAAUGGACCACUGGGGGACCCCGGGCUCGAACCCGGAUCAGUGGAUGCCGCUCGAGCCACGGACCGGCGGUCUCGUCGCCGGACUCGAACCCGCCACCGUACGCUCUACGCCUCCACCGCUACCAUACGCCUCUCUCUAGUUUAUUAUACGCCUCCAAUCCUUGGUAGUGCUUCCUCAUGAUCACCUCUACGUGACAACCAACCCGGCGUAGAGUACGUGGGGUACGACGUUUGAAACUCCAUUCAUUGGGCUUUGUUAAAGAGAAUAAAAGAGAGAACGCCACUGUAGCUAAACCUAGAAAUCAAAAACUAAACUACAUCGUGCCAUUAUUGGUUUGACUCUAUGGCUUAGAUGCAACACCUUUUACUCGGGCGGUGCCCUAAUCCUCGCGAAUAAUAAAAUAUUCGCUGCCGGAGAAUAUUCCGGAAUCGGCCCGUGGUGAGGUUUUGGGCCCCCCCCCAAAAUGCUUAUUUAUAUUGUUCGCUGGGAGUCCAUGUUCCCUUUUUAGCUCCCCAUGUGUGGCCUUUGUUUUUGUUGCCAGCCAAAGAAACACACAGAAAGUUUGAAGGAGAGAGAGAGAGCACAAAAAUCUGAGAGGAGAGAAAGAAAUGGCACUGGCUUUGAUUGACUUUGCCGCGCUCCACUUCUUUGAUCCCUCCAUCUCCAUCUCGUCCUUUUUCUUUUUCUACUUGGACUCGGACGAUUCGAUCCAUGUCAUGUUUCGCUCGAAGUCGAUGGAUCACUGCCCGAUCACUCCACCACUUCUUGUCGACUGGAAAAGUCUUUAAAUUCCUCUCGCUGAUGCGAUCAGCACAGCAUUAGCCUGAGAUCAAGGCCGCGGAUCAUCCAGCAAAGUCUAAGCUUUUUGCCACGGAUGUGACAAGCUAACGUGUUGUCCAGAGCGCUUACAGGUUCCAUUGUUUUUUCCAUGACAAUUCUUUUUCCUCCGGCGACCGGCACGAAAAUCGUCCGAAGCAACCCAAACUGGAAACAAGAUACAUGCCCAGUUUCUCGGACAGAUUUCCUCAAGCCCGGCAGCACACGGAAGACGAAGAAAUUCGUUAAAAAAUCCACGAGCAAGCAGCAAGAGAGAGAGAGAGAGAGAGAGAGAGACAUAAAGAACUUUGCCAAGCCCAAAGUCGUUGAUGUUAAGCUAGGCCGUGCUUGAAGCGCGUGAUGAUGAUCAUGAAAGUUCCUGUCGAGAUGCUCGGUGGAUUCUCCGUGUCUCCAGCUAGAGACUUAUCGAUCAAUCCACAGUGUGCGGCAGCCGUCGUUUUGCUCGAUCGCUCCCUCGUUUGCAAAAGCUCGGACUUGACGAUCCUUCUCUUUCUGCCAUGGAUUCCUCCAUGAAGAGACCACCGAGCCAAGUUGCGAGAGUGAGGUUAAGCUGUAGUGAUCUUACGGACAUCCUCUUUUUGGAUUGCUUCCUUUUUUACUCCUUGUAUCGUAUCGACACUGUUGUAGAAGAAACAAACGAGUUUUGGAGGUAGCAACUUCCCUUCCAUAUGAUUGAUACAUGAAGAACAAGACAUCGCUUGCAAGUGGAAGAUCACACGGGAGAUGUUUGGAGUCAAACUGGAACUUUCGUGAUUGUUACGAGCACCUCCCCUGAAUCCAGCACCACACUAUCUAUCUGGUAAUGUUUCAAAACGAGUAAACUAAUCAGUGUUUGUUGGGAAUGAAUGUUUGUGCUGCUUGGCCACUUGCACUGCGGCAGCAGAGGAGGAUGUUUUGCGGCAACUAUACCCGACUAAAUCGAAGUACUUUAAUUGCAAUUUGCAAGAUCACAAGUACUAGUCCUGAAGAAAAACAGCGAGAUGUGCUUAUAAUCAAGGCAUUGUUGCAACGCAAGUGGAAAUUCACUAUGUUUAGCUGGGCUUUCUGGGGAUGCUUCAUCUGAAUCACAUAGUGUCACCUUGCCGUAUGAAAAAGACAAGAGAAAAAUUCUUACUCACUAGAGUUUGGCAAUUUUACUUUAGCUGCUACAAUUUUUCCAUUGUUGAUACUCAUUGUAGCUUCAUUCAACUCCACACUUUUUUACUUGAUUAGAGAUGUAAAGUUUUGUGUCAAGUUCUAAAAUUUUGUCUAUAGUUACAAAACCACAAGGUUAUCCAUAAAUGGAUUGAUAUUACUAUAAACAAUUAAAGAAAACAAUUUGAAAGUCGAUCAAUAGGGUUCAAAUAUAAAAGGAAAUGGCUCAUGAAUAAAAAUACAUUUUAUUUUCCAAAUGCACUUAUUUUUCCAAUCGGUUAAAGGUUUUGGGAUAUUUGGGGUUAAGUGUCUCUAGGUUGGGUGACUUCCCGGGAAUUUCAAAUUCAAGAGUUUAUAAUUACUUCAAUGUAAAGGUAUAAUUUCAACUUCUCUUUCUUCCUUUCAGCUUCUUUUUUUUGCUUUUCAAUAUGUAGUGAGUGAAAUGCUUUCACUCGUAAGUUUUUUAUAGGUGAGUGAAUAAAAUUUGUAUAACUUACUUUUCCAAAGUUACAUUUAAGAUGGCCAAGUGAGCAGUGUGAUGUGCUCUUACAACCAAGUGAAUAGUUUCUUAACUUGUGCUAAUUAGAGUUUGCUCACAGAUAUAAUACAAAAUAAAUGGGGAUGCAAUAAAUUUAUUCAUUUCUCUCCUCGAGAUAAAUCAUUCGUUUACUUCUUGUUAAAUAUAUAAUUUUUGAUUGUGAUGUUUUUCACUUUUCUUGAAGGGUGCAACAUAUACUCCCUUAUCCAAAGAUGCAGUUGUUGAUUCCAUGUUAUAGGUAAAAAUUUGAUAAUUAGGAUUGUUGCAAGUUUCAAUAUUAAUUUUGGGACUAACUUCUAAAGUUUUACUGAGAUUAUUUUAAAUUAAUAAGUUCAAAACUUUUUUUGACAAUCAUAAGAAGUCAACACUUCAAGUUGGAAAUAUCACUAAGGUUAACCUUAACCAUAUAAUAUCCAAUCUUAUUACAACCAAAUGUGGUUUAGAUUAUUCAAUAGCAAUCCAAACAUUUAACCAUAUUCAUCACUUGGAGAUGCAAUAAUAAUUAUCAAUAGUUUGCUUUAGAUAUUGCUUUCCAAGGAAUUGUUCUCAUAAAAAACAAUGGCUUACUACUUUUAUUCACAAUCUUGAAAAUUGUGGCUCUUAUAGGAAACAAUGUAAAUACAAUAUACAGGCAUGAACUUGCAAAAAAGCAUGAUAGAUUAUAAACAACCAAAGAUAAUAACUUAAAAAAUUAUUAAUAUUGUUUCAAAUAUAGAAUUUUACCCUUUGUUCCAAUUAGUUAUAAGUCUUGAGUUAUUUGAGAUUAAGCAUCUUUAAAUAGUCUGAUUAUAGUGCCAUAAAUAAUAUAAGUUAAUGUUUGUAAAGAACCUAGCAAAAAAGAAAACAAUUUAAAAUUAAACAACCUUUUAAAAAUGAAAUAUUUACUAGAAUGUUCAAAAUAAGUAUUUAGAAAGCAUUUUCAUUAGAGCUACUCUCAAGUAACACUUGAUAUGUUGUAAAUGAUUUCAUAGUAAAAAAUAUUUUUAUACUUCAUUUUUAAAAUAAUUAUAAGUGGUGUUUAUUACAUAUUUUGUAGUUUGUAAAAGAUGUCUACAGACACUCAAAAACCUUUUGCUGUUAAAUUAUUUUCAUUCGAGCACUUGCUUAUAAUAGUUAAAGCAUAAUACAGUGUUUAGUUUUAUGGGAUGGCAUAUAUAUGUAAUUGAAAAGAGUAAACAAAUUUCUAUAUGGAGUUUAGUAAGUAAAUAGAAUUGUGAACAAUGACAAUUUUGAUAAGUCUUUAAAGUGUAGUUUAUAACAUAGUUUAGCUAAACAUUAAUUUAAAAAAUAAGUUGAAGUUAGUAAAGAUAAUAUAAAGUUAUCUCCUAUAGUAUGUGAUGAUAAAUAACAAUUAAGUACUUGUAUUUAGUUUUGAAAUGCAUUACCUCAAAAGGUUUAUUAAUGUUAAAUAACUUCAUUUGAGACACAUAAUCCCUAGGCCUAAAGUGGAGCAAAAAGGGUGCCAUGUGGUAGUGGCCGAAGUGAAAGCCAAACGAGCGUAACACGUUUGGACUAAAAGGCUCCGACUUGAAAUGUUAAGAGCGGGAGUGGAACUCCCAACGGAGUGCUCAAGGAACGAGCAUGAAGCGAGCAAUAAGCAAGGCUCCAAAAAGGGACCCAAAAAGGACUAACACAUAGUCUUUGUUAAAUAAAACUAAAAUCAUAGAUAUAUCUCAAUGUAAAAUACCUUUGUAAAUCCAUAUUGUUUUAUAAUCCAAGGUUAUAGGAUGGAUAUUAAAAUAUUUAGCCAUGAUUGUCUUUUAGUCAAUUUCUUUCACAAUUUUAGUUUUCAUAUCGAAAUGUCAUUAAUAUGAAAUCAUUUGAUUAGUUUUUCCUUCACUUGGAUUAUUAAAAAUUCAAUACUGAAAUAAACUUGAAACAUUAGAAUAAACAUGAAAUAAUAUUUUAGAGCAAUAAUGCAAACUUACCUCAUUGACUUCUAUUACAAAAUAUAGCCUAAUCAUUCCAAAGACAUAUAACAAUAACUAUAUAAAGCAUAUUUAUUUACCUUCAUCUUGCCAAAUCACCUUGUAAAAAUAUAGAUUGAUGAUCUGCUUUAGAAUGGUGUUUGUUAAAUAAAACUAAAAAUUUAAAUGUUAAAUACCUUUGCAGACCUAUAUUUUUCUUUCUUCUAGGAUUAUGAGAUGAAGAGCAAAACAUAUAAUUAAUGAUUUACUUUAAAUGCCCUACAUAGCGUUUGUUAGAUAAAACUAAAAGCAUGGAUAUAUUUCAAUAUAAAAUACCUUUGUAAAUAUAUAUUGUUUUAUCAUCCAAAGUAUGGGAUAAAAAAUAAAUUAUUUGGUAGUUUUUCCUUCAUUUAAAGCAUUAAAAAUUCAACACUGAAAUGAACUUAAAACAUUAGAAUAAACAGGAAAGAAUAAUUUGGAGUUAUAAUGCAAACUUACCUCAUUAACUUCUGCUAUAAAAUAUACCCCAAUCAUACCAAAGACAUAUAAUAAUAACUAUAUAAAGCAUAUUUAUUUACCUUAGUUUUACCAAACCACCUCAUAAAAAUUUAAAUUGAUGAUCUAUUUUAAAAUGGUGUUUGUUAGAUAAAACUAAAAACUUAAAUAUUAAAUACCUUUGCAGACUCAUAUUUUUUUUCCCUCUAAGAUUGUGAGAUGAAGAGCAAAAUAUUUUUCCAUGAUCAUCUCCUGCUUUUCUUCUUUCUCAAAUUUAGUUGUCACUAGCUUAAAUAUCUUUUGUACAUCUUCUACUUUGGGAUUUGUAGUUAGUUUGCUUUUGAGAAGAAAUGAAUCCAAAAAACUUAUGAGGCUUCCCUUGAUUUCGUCUACUAUUGCAUUCACAGUCUCUCCAACACCAGCAAAAUGUCCUCCAACUUUAGCCCCAAUAAAUAAUAGAAUCAAUGUAUAUUUAAAUACUGGAGCAAAUUUCUUGAGCCAGUUUGGUGGGAGAUCCACUUCAAUACCUUCAGAACUCUGCACUUGAUGAGCUUUAAAAGUUCCUUCAAGCUAUUCACACAAGUAGUGAAGUUUAACAUGUGUUCCCAAUAUUUUGUUGUAAUUUUUCCACCUAUUAUUCUCAUCAAGAAUAUAUGGAUAUUUUGGGCAAUCUAUCUCCAAUUUCAAUAAUACUUGCAAACACUUUGUAUGGAUUGCAUUCACUUUAUCCAUGAUAGACUUUAGUCCAUUUUUGAGCUCGUUAAGGAUUACUUCAAUGUCAUCAAGUUUUGUAUCCAACUUGUCAAAACGGUUCUCCAUUUUAUCAAACUUCUUAUCAAAAUAUCUGAAGAUUGCAUUGAGUUUUGAGUCUUCAAUAUUCGGAAACUCAACAACAUCUGAUGAUACUUUGGGAAUUGUGACUUCUCCAACCUCCUCAUAGUCCUUCAAAAAUUCAUAAAGUUCAAUAAACUUCUUUACCCCUUCAUGUUUUUGCUCGUUAGGCAUCAAUAGCUUAGCCAAAGCAUUCUCAUCUGAGACUUUCAAAUCGUUAAUCACAUCCCAACUCUCUACUUCAUGUGAAUCAUUCCAAGUGUGAGAGUAGUCUAAACCGCUUUCUCUUGCUUCACAUUUGACUUGUUUUAAUGGAUAAAUAACUGCAUCCCAUGAUUUUGGUUUGCCCACAUUAUUUAGUAUCCUUCUCCACACAUAACCAAUAUUCUUCUUGCAAUAGUGUUGGCAUUAUCAACUCUUUGGGCAAGUUAUGCCAAUUCCCAUCCCAUGUAUCAUCCCUAGGCAAUAUCACUCCCAUCUCAUGGAGCACUCCAAGAAUGUACUCCACUAUUUUGUCUUGGUUCCCACAUUGUUGCUUCAACUGAUGUUUAACUCUGUGUGUUUCCAUUUGACUUUUGAGUUUGCUUGUCUCAGUAUGUAUGAAGAGUUGCACCACAUCCCUCAUAAACCAUUGGACAUCUAAGAUGACAAAUUGAGACACAAUGUCGUCCUCUUCAUGUCCCAAGCCAAAGUAAAUUGCAUCACCAGAAUCAUGUGGAAAUUGCAAGACGAAUUUGAGAACAUUCUUGGAACUCCUGUGAGGCAAAAGGAUUUUGCCAACUUUAUCUAGGGGUAUGACCUUCUUGUGACUUGGAUCUUGUACCAAUUUCCUCUUUGCUUUGAGACAUUCCCGUGGUAUUUGUUGCUGGGCUGACAGCAGUUCUUCCAAGCAACUCCCCAACAUGGUUUUUAUCCCCCUUAAAUCUUUCACUCGAGUGGCCACCACCUCAAAACAAAGAUCUGUCCCAAACUCAAGUACUUGCCCAUAGCCUUUGUCAGAGAUUAUUGCAGAAACCACGUCCUUUGGGUCAUAGUUGCAUUUUGGAGUGAAAAAAUUCAAGGCAAUCAAGACCUUGGGCUUCCUUUUGGGUGAGGCUGAUUGAUGUGAAGCGAUGAACCUCAGCCAGUAAACCAAAUUCUGCUUGAAAACGUCACAAUUGUCAUCCUCCACCUUGCAUACGAUCAAGAAGAGAUCCUUCUCACUUCCUCUAAGAAAGUACUGGUGGAAAACAUGGAACUCUUCCUGUCCAGCCAGGUCGCAAAUGAGUAGCUUUUGUUUGGUGGUUGCAUAGACAAGUGGUUGCAGCUCAAUGCCUGCUGUUGAAGCAUGCCUUUGGAGACAUGAUGGAAACCAAGACACUCUGCGGCAGAGGUUGUUUUUUAUUGUGGUUUUUCCAACCCCGCUAGCACCACACAAGAAGAGCUUUGCUGUUGACGGGUUGUCAAAGUCUUUGAAUGCACUCUGCUGGAAGAUUGCAUUCCGCUCUAAAAGACCAGAACACCUCUGCUUGAAAGCUUCAGAAGCUUCGGAAUCAUUGCCUAUAUCAAGCUCUUCCACGAGGCUUUGGUAGUUUUCCUCCAGGGCAGCCAGAAUUUGUCUUUUCUGUGCAUCACUUCCAAGAUCAGGAGCCCUGAAUCUGCGCACCUUGCAUUUUGGAUCCCCCAGCAACUGGCAAAGAUCUUCCAGCUUUUCAAAAUUUGGCUGAGAUAUUCUCAAGUCUUCAAUGCUGCUUCCCAAAAGGCACCUCCAUGGCAGUUCCGAGUCACAUAUCAAAGAUUUCAGAUACUUGCACCUGGUGAUAGCUUUCCAAAAGAGCUCCCCAUUCGUGAUUUUGCACUCCGAUAUACCCAAAUGCUCCAGUUGGCUCUUCUCUAUGCCCUCGGCAAACUCCAACGUUAACUCAUCUUCUCCUCCCGCGCUACCCCAUAUUUCCAAAUGGCGCAGCUUACAAUGUGGACUUGAGAGAGCUGACCACAGACUGCUGUCCCAGACCAUUCCUCCUCCCUCGUUGGGACAAUCAAGGUUGAGCUUGAUCAGCUUGCAAUUGGGAUUUUGUAGCGCUUUGCCCAACCAUCCACCACCAUCACCUGGAUAAAGUCUAACGCUGAGUUCCUCCAAGCCACACUUAGCGCUGCUCAGGGCCUCACCCAGGCCCGUUGCAUUGCUCAGGUCCUCACUCUGUCUCAUUCUUCGGCAAUCUAAAACUGAGAAGCUGGUGCCCUCCUGAAGAGCCUUGCAUACCCAUGGCAACACUCCAGCAUCAGUAUCCCGAGAUAGGUCUAGUCUUUGCAGUGAACAGUUUGGACUAGUGAGUGCCUUGAAGAGUGCUUCACCUGCCUCCUCUGGAAAUGAUGCCGUCAGUUCUACUAGCUUAUUGCAAAUGCCAUUCUGAAAUGCCUGUUCCCACCCUUCCUUGCCAAUGUCCUUAUCUAGGAUGGCUAACUCUUCCACCUUGCACUCCUGACUUGCCAGAUCCCUACUCAAUUUCCCAAAUCCUUCCACUGUCAUCCUGUUCGAAGCCAAGGCGAGACGUUUCAAGUUGUUUCCUGGUUUCCUAAGGAGUUGGCUAAGGAGAGUCUCUGGGUUCCCAACCUUGUCCAACCCGAGCUCUGUCAAGCAGUCGAGCUGAGCAAAGGCCAACUCAAGCUCCUGAGGUGGUGUGAGGAUGUCUUUGCCUUCCCAAUAGAUACCUAGCCCUUUCAAGACUUUGAAUUCCUCUGUCAUCAUCAGUAGCUUUGCAAACCUCUGCACCUCAAUCUGGCCAAUAUCUUGUCCCUGCUGAGGAGGAGCAAUGCCCUCUGCCACCCUUUGCAUCCGAUCACUGGGAAUGCCCAACCUACAAGCGACCCUGGCAGCGAAGUGGAUGAAUCUGAUGUCGAGCUGUGGUACCAAAGCGGCCUUGAGAAUGUCAAUGUGAGCAGCAGCAGCAGCAGCAGACGAACUGCCAUCACCAGGAGCAUCUCCCACAUCCAGAGCCCUGUCUAAACUGGGUGGAUUUGAAAUGCACCAGUUGAGCACACCAACCAGAUCCUCCUCUGUGCCUCCAAAACUCUCGACGGUAGCACUCACCUUAUCAACAAACUCGCCUUCGGAUAGCUCCAGCCUCGAGAAAAGCCCACAAGAAAAGCCAAUCGCAUUGAAGUGCCGCUUGUUGUCCCGCUUCGCUGCGAGAGCCUCCUUGAUCUCCUUGACAGAGCCACAGCUGAUCCACACUCGUCGCUCCUCCUCCAUGGAAGUUUGCCCUGGAUCGAAGGGUAUUUACAGGUAUUCCCAGAGGUAUGGUGAGUCCUUUCUUCACUAUUGAGAGUGGCCCUGUGCCACGUGGCUAGUCCACGUGGAGAGACACGAGUCUUCACCGGUUCACCAUGUGACACAUAUGUACAUUUUCCAUUCCAUAUAUGCUAUGACGGAUCUUGAGCACCAUCACACGGUUUCACCUUUCGUUAGAUGGUAUCGGAGCAAUGCCUGGGAGAGCGCAAAGAAUACGAAACCGUAGGAUCAGGGCGACACUCGCUAGGGUGAAUCGGAGCCUCCGUCUACGUAGACAGAGGCGUGCCCUAAUCCAAGCGCUCCAGGCCUUGCAAGAGGCACUGGACGACUAAGAACCUGGACCUAGACUUGAACGAGUGGUGGGAUUGGGUGUCGGCACCCAUGGCAGCCACUGUUCCUACAAAUCCGCCUCCAAAUCCACCACCUAUUUCCCCUCCCAUCACAAAUCCGACUGUGCCUACAGCGGAUAUCAUUUCAGUGGACGCAAAUCCACCAAAAUUUGAUGGGAGGAACUGGCGCUUCUGGAAGACAAAAUUCGAAUCCUAUAUGGAUGAACGAGGCCUCUGGGACAUCACCACAGGAACUGAGACACUUCCAGAUACAGCUACAGUGGAUGAAACUGCGAAGUAUCGCAAGAAGGACCGGAGAGCUUUGGGCAAAUUCCAUGCAGCGCUGGAGGGGCGAGAAUUCCAUUGCAUUGGACGGUGCAAGAGUGCAAAGGAAGCGUGGGAGGCCAUGAAGCAGACUUACCAGAUCCCUUCAACAUCCCAUCGCAUAUUUUUACGGAAGCAGCUUCAUGCAUUGGUGAUGGUUGAAGGGGAUGAUCUCAAGGAUCAUCUUGCUGGUGUGAGAACCAUCUUAGAUGAUCUUAAGGAUGUAGGUGCAAACAUAGAGGAUGAAGAAGAAGCAGAGCUGGUGCUCGUCACACUUCCUCCAUCCUUUGAUCCUCUCAUACGUAGCCUCACUACCACUGGAACUCCUCUAACCCUGAAUGGCGUGAUCAGUAGCCUCCAGGACGAUGAUCUGAGACGAAGAGCAACAACAGGAUCAGAGGCCGUUGCAUUCUACUCUUCUCUCAGGAAAGAAACAGUGAACAAAGGGAAACAAGGAGCCUCUUCAUCCAAGAAGCCCAAGUGUUCUCAUUGCAACAAGAAAGGCCAUGACGAAGCUCAAUGCUGGGUGAAAAAUCCAUCUCUCAAGCCUGUAAGGAACAAUGCAAAGAAAAAGGUGGUACACGCCUUCAUCUUGUCACGAGCUAUGGCUGUGGCAGCACUGUCUGCAGAGUGCAUCUACCUGGAUUCUGCUGCCACAGACCAUAUGUUCAACAGUGAUAAGUACUUUGAAGCCUAUGUUCCUACAGCCACAGAGGAGUAUGUCAUCGUUGGCAAUGCCCAGCAGCUUGCUGUGAAAGGAGUUGGAACCAUCAAGUUCACUUUACCACAAGGAAUAGUCGUAAAGAUCCACGAGGUUCUUUAUAUUCCUGGUUUAUGUGCUAAUUUGUUCUCUGUGGGACAAUUUGCUGAGGAUGGGUAUCAGUUCGCCAUUACACCUCGCCAAUUCCAGCUGAUCUCGACCACAGGAGCCAUCCUCACAGCGUCCCGGCCUGGACGGCGUGACCUCUACCGCCUUACCUGUGGUAUUAUGAAACGGUGUUGUGUUAUUAUUAUGACGGUUGAUACAUGGUUAAAUGUAUGGGUUUAUCGUGACGAUCCGUGGCGGCGUCUGGAUCGCUCACGUGGCUGUGUGCUGACGUGGUCUUGUUCACUCCCACACUCCUCCUCAAGGCCAACGUCUAAGGUCAGCCCAAGUGCCUUCGUGAAGACUUCAUGUUUAACACGAGGAAGUGGUUUUGUUAGCACGUCCGCUAGCAUGGAGUUUGUCGGGCAGAACUCCAGCUCGAUCAUUCCUCUCUGGAUCUGGAGUUCUUGGUCAAAGCUAUUGCAGACUGGUUGUCACACAAUAGCUUGACCACGCCCGUGUUGAUUUGUAGAUCCUGGAGAAGUCCCUUCAGCCACGCUGCUUCCUUGGUUGCAGCUGCUGCAGCUAUGUACUCAGCCUCGGUACUCGACAUCGCUGUAAUAGCCUGUCGUUUGCUGCACCAGCUUGCGACAUUUCCAUUUAGCAGGAAAACGUAGCCUGUGGUUGACUUCCUGUUGUCUGGAUCCCCGGCCCAAUCAGCAUCAGAGUAACCAGCCAGCUUGUUGCCGCUCUCGCCUCUGGAGUACUUUAAACUUAGCUGGUUAGUCCCUGCCACGUACCUCAUAAUACGUUUCAAAGCCUGCCAGUGUGCUGUGGAGGGACGGUCCAGGUACUUCGCCACUGUUCCCACAGCAUACGCAAGGUCAGGCCGAGUGGAGAUUACCAGGUAGAUCAGGCUGCCGACCAUAGAGCGAUAGACUGCUCUAGAUGCUUUCUCCUCCUCGGGAGAUUGAUCAAGGUACUCUCCACUCUCAGCAGAUAAUUUCGUGCCUGUUUCCAUGGGAGUAGCAACCGGAUUAACAUGAGCAAGGCCAUACCUCUGGAGCACGUCGGAAACAUAUUUUGCCUGGCUUAGCUCCAGAGUGCCUCGUUCCCUGUUGCGCGUCACCUGGAUACCGAGGCAGAAAUGCAACUCACCGAGGUCUUUCAUGGCAAAUUUAGCGCCAAGGUACGUUUUAAAUUUGUGGAUCAAACGUAGCUGAUUUGCCACGAGAAUAGCAUCGUCCACAUAUAGCGCAAGGAACAAAUAGCCCUCAGCGUCAAAAUAUAUGUAGAGGUUACAAUCAGCAGCACUGCGCACGAAACCAAGGGAAAUUAGAAAAGAAUCUAUUUUCGUGUACCAUUGGUGCUUGAGUCCGUAGAGAGCUUUGUUAAGCUUGCAAACGAGGUGUUCUUCUCCAGGCUGGAUAAAACCAGGAGGCUGAGCCAUAUACACCUCUUCAUCGAUGUCGCCGUUAAGGAACGCAGUACAAACGUCAAGUUGAUGGAGCUCGAGAUCCAAUUCUGCAGCUAAGAUUAGUAGCAUACGAAUGGUUGUGAGUUUCACCACCGGGCUGUAAGUCUCCGAGUAGUCCAGCCCAUGAACUUGAGAAAAUCCGCGUGCCACAAAUCUCGCCUUGUAGCGCUCAAUGCUUCCAUCAGCGUUGUACUUUUUCUUAAACAACCACUUGGAUGAGACGAGCUUUCUGCGAGCUGGAAGUUCAACCAGCGACCAAGUGUUGUUUUUCUGGAGAGAAUCAUACUCCUCCUGCAUAGCUGCCUGCCAGUGUUCAGCUUCUGGUCCAUGUAGAGCCGCUUGGGGACCGAGAGAGGCAGGUGGAGCCGACAGAGCCCAGAAGUAGGCACGCUUUCCUAUAGGCAUCGCCUCCUUGGCUUUAAGAGAUGGUUUCACGACACGACCCGAGCGUGUCACCACUGCUGUGCCGGCUGGAGGAGGUGGUAGCUUGGGAAUGCUAGGAGGAGUGGUGGCAUCUUGAUAUAACUCGUCGCCAACGAACAGGUCAGCCACAAGCGUGGAAAGAUCUGGCUGUUCAUUGGUGCUUGAGGAUGCAGCCGCUGUGGCCUGUGGAGUCGUCAGAGGAGGUGUCGAAGGAAGAGAAGUACCGUGAUCAGCUCCUCCUGCCAGAUCGCCUCCUUCGGGCGCUCCUUCAGCAACUCCUCCUGGCUCUGCAGCGGCUGGAUUGUCUGGUGCUGGGUGGAGAUGUGGAACGUCGUCCAAAAUCUCAGAAAGAUCCACCAGAGAUGGUGGAGAAACAGGAGGGAGUCUCAGGGUAUCUCGAUAAAGACGAGCUUCAUCAAACACCACAUCUCGGCUCACCACCAGUUUCCUGCGCUGGCAGUUAUAGAGUCGAUAGGCUUUUACCUGGGUGUGAUAGCCCAUGAAGAUGCAUUUCUCGCUCUUGGGAUCCAGCUUCCGCCGCUGAACAUCGGGGAUGUGGGCGUAGGCUAUGCAACCAAACACCCUCAAGUGCCCUAACUUGGGGCGCUUCCCAGUCCAUACUUGAAACGGCACCUGUCCUGUGGAACGUGUUGGCAGCCGGUUCCGGAGGUACACUGCUGUGUUGAGUGCCUCUCCCCAAAACACCUUGGGCAUGCCAGCGUGCUGGAGAAGGCAGCGUACACAGUCCAUAAGUGUCCUGUUCAGGCGCUCGGCGACCCCAUUCUGCUGCGAGGUGUGGGCUGCGGUGUACUCGUGGUGGAUGCCAGCCUGAGCAAGAAAUGCCAGAAACUCCUUGCUCAUAUACUCACCGCCGCCAUCUGAACGUAGUGUCCGGAUGGUACAGCCAGUGGCAUUUUCUGCCCAGCUUUUGUAGACCUGGAAGUGAUGGUAGACCUCUCCCUUGUGUGCCAUGAGAACAGCCACCGCAUAGCGUGAGUAGUCGUCAAUGAACGAAACGAAGUACCGCUUGUGACUGAGAGUUGCUUCUGGCACAUGGCACACAUCCGUGUGUACCAGCUGAAGAAAUCCUGAGGCGCCAUCUUCUGGACUUCUGCGUGGAAAGGGUAGUCUUGGCUGCUUCCCCAGUUGGCACGUCUCACAUACUCCCAGUUGGCUGGCACCGGUGAGGGUAAAGUCAUCAGCAAGCUUGUGGCUAGCAAGUAGCUGGAUGUCGUGAGAAUUGGCAUGCCCUAGCCGAGCGUGCCAGAGCUGGAGAGAGUUGGCAGCCCAGGAGCUGGGGCGAAUUGCAAGCAAAUGCCCCUGCUCGUGAGUUGAGAGGAUCAACUGAGCAUUGAGCUUGUAGAGAGUCUCAGCUCGUCUACCAAAAGCUACUGGAUGGCCAGUCUCGUCAAAGAUGGUGCAUCCGUCUGCGUUGAAGAGUGUUGAGAAGCCUUGAUCUGCUGCUACACCAACUGAGAACACUGUCUGUCCUGCUUCUGGUACGUAGUAGACCUGGUUCACGAGCUUCUCAGCUCCACUCUCCAACUUUAUGACCGUUCCUUGUCCUUCCACUGUUAAGGGGCGUUUGUCUCCUACAAAGACUUGCUUCUCCUGCUCCAGUGGCCGGUACUUGUGAAAAGCUCUCUUCAAUGGUGUGAGGUGCAUCGAGGCUCCAGAAUCCAUCCAGAGCACUUCGGCUUCGGACACAGUGGAUGAAGAUGCAGCGAGCGUCAUCAUCAACAUCGUGUCAGGUUGGCGUGAAGAAGAGCUUCUUUCAGCGCGAGCUUUCUCUGCGGCUUUCUUGAUCCGGCAUUCACGCUCCACGUGGCCAGCUUUGCCGCAGUAGUUACAUGGGCCCUUGCGUUUUUUAUUGGUUGCAAAUCCAGGGCUGGGAGAAGGGCUCUUUUGUCCUCGAACAGGGCCAUCUCGUUUCUUCCCACCCGAUUGCUUUCCCAUGAUCAAGGCCUGCUCCACCCGAGCAGCCUGAGAGGGCGCCUUUUGUCUCCGCUCGUUCUGCUUUCGUUCUUCCUCGAUCAGGUCCGAGUAGAGCGAGUCCAAGUCCUUUCCAGGUACAGCCGAGAGCAUCGAUGCGAAAGGUUGGAGAUCAGGGGAGACAGAGCUUAGAAGGAAUGCCUUAGCUUGGUCAAUGGUGAUUGCCGCUUCCGCGUCCUUCAGCUCGGUGAUCAUCGCUUUAAACUUUCCAAUGUAAGUGGCCAUGGUGUCAUCAGGUUGCAUUCUCAUCGUGAAGAACCUUUGUGUUAGCACCACCUUAGCAUUGGCAGCUUUGGCAGCGAAGAUUUGUGUAAGGGAUGUCCAGUUCUGGUGGGCUGUUUUGGUAAGAUCAAGGAGAUGAACGAAUUCAUCCCCAAGACCUAACCCGAUGACAGAGAGCGCUUUUCGAUUCUUGGAGUCCCAGUCGAGCCGUUGGGUUACAUCCGCAGCAGCCGGACGUUGAGUCGUUCCAUCCACUAUAGGCCAGCAGUCCUUGGCCAAAAGGAUAAGCUGUACUUUUGUUUUCCAAGUGGAGAAAUUCUGUCCCGUGAACUUUUGGAGAAGUUUCUCCCAGCCCCCAGAGUCCCAAGAAUUUCCUGCUGCGUUAGCAGAAGACAUUCUAUCUAUUAAUCUAAGAAUAGAUUAAACAGAGAAUUUAGAAAGGACGGCGUGGAGAAGAAUCGUGAAAAACUCGGCCGCAACAAGGGCACACCAUCCGGCAGGCUGGGCAAAGAGCUUGUUGGCGCUUUCGGUCCUGGAUCUUCCGCUCCACCCGCGCCAGCACUGCCAAAGCCCUCGCGCGCUCCUGAGCCAAGGGUUCCUGGCCCCUUUGAUUCUUCAUCUGCCACUGUCCUCUUGCCAUUAGAUCGUUCGCUGCUCCGAUACCAUGUGGUAUUAUGAAACGGUGUUGUGUUAUUAUUAUGACGGUUGAUACACGGUUAAAUGUAUGGGUUUAUCGUGACGAUCCGUGGCGGCGUCUGGAUCGCUCACGUGGCUGUGUGCUGACGUGGUCUUGUUCACUCCCACAUUACCAUGCUGCCAGAUCUUGCUGGACGGAGUCUGGGCCUACACGCACAAAAGACAACGACCAGUCACUCACUGGAGCUUUGGCACGCACGCCUGGGGCAUCCUAGUGCUGAUAGAAUCAAGCAGCUCACACGCGAGCAGAUGGUUGAAGGUCUAGACCUGGACCCAAGAGCCGUUCUUCCAUUUUGCCAGGGCUGUCAGCUAGGAAAAUCUACUCGCCAACCUUUCCCCAAGACUGGAGCAUCUCGAGCUACAGAGCUCAUGGAACUUGUACACACUGAUGUGUGUGGCCCGAUGGCCACCACAGCAGUGGGAGGUAUCCAAUACUUUAUCAGUUUCAUUGAUGACUACAGUCGUCGCACUAUGAUCUACCCUAUGGCUCGCAAAUCCCAAUCGUUACACUACUUCCAGACUUUCAAGGAUAUGGGAGAAACACAAACUGGGAAAAUGCUCAAGCGAUUGAGAAGUGAUGGUGGAGGCGAAUUCACUUCCAAUGCUUUCAACCAGCUGUGUGAGCAAGGAGGGAUUGUGCGAGAACUUACAACGCGAGAGACUCCACAACAGAAUGGCGUAGCUGAGCGCAAGAAUCGCACACUAGUGGAGAGUGCUCGGGCAAUGCUACUUUCCAGUGGUUUGCCUCGCAGCUUCUGGUUUCACGCUGUCUUGACGGCGAACUAUCUCCAGAACCGGCUCCCCACCUCUGCCCUUGCUGACAUCACUCCUGAAGAAGCAUGGAGUGGCAAGAAACCUACAGUUACGCAUCUGAGAAUAUUCGGGUGUGAAGCGUGGGCACACAUCCCUGAUGGAAUGCGCAAGAAAUUGGAUCCCAAGAGCCAGAAGGCUGUGUUUGUGGGCUACAGCCUCGAUCACAAAGCCUAUCGUCUCUGGAAUCCAAUCACGAAGCAGGAGAUCCUGAGCAGAGAUGUGGUUUUCAACGAGAAUUCGUUUCUUCCUUCUAGUCAAGGUUCUACUUCCAGACCUACCUUGACCGAAGAAAAUGACGUUGAAGCGGAACAAGAUCAGUUGACUGUCGGCACGAUCACUGUGCCGCUUCAAACAGUCCCUACACAACAACCCAUGCCCGCUUCUACUCCAACACCACCAACCCCGCCGCCUCCUCCAGAUCCUCUACGCAGAUCGAUCCGCACAAGGCGGCCUACUGAGCGUCUCAUCGAGACAAUGGUCUCCUCUCGUGCAGCUGGGACUCCUACUGUUCCGAGGACCUAUGGAGAAGCCAUGGCCUCACAGGAAGCGUCUUACUGGCGUGUAGCAAUGGAAGCCGAGAUUGCUUCACAGCAAAAGAACGAGACACAUGUUCUUGUUCCAACUGUGCCUUCCAAUCGCCAGAUUAUCAAGAGCAUGUGGGUGUAUGCUCUGAAGCUUAAUCCUGAUGGCUCGGUUCGCUACAAGGCGCGAUUGGUGGCGAAAGGAUGCUCGCAAGUUCCUGGACUUGACUACAACGACACCUUUGCUCCAGUGGUUAAGCAUUCUACUCUUCGUUCCUUGAUUAAUUUUGCUGCGGUGGGAGACUUUGAUCUGGAACAGAUGGAUGUGACCACGGCGUUUCUUUAUGGCGCGCUUGAAGAAGAAAUCUAUAUGGCACAGCCAGAAGGAUUUCUAGCCGCUGGAAAAGAGGAUCAUCUCUGGCUUCUCAAGAAAGCUGUCUACGGCUUGAAACAAGCACCCAGAUCUUGGUACAAACGCUUUGACGAUUUUAUACUAAGUGUGGGCUUUUCCCGUAGCGAGGCAGACCCGAAUCUUUAUAUUCAGGUGGAGGGUGAAUCAUUUGUGAUCAUCGCUCUUUAUGUUGAUGAUACUCUUGUCAUCCAUAACCAUCGCUUAAUGUUUCUCCAGGUUAAGCCAGAUCUUUGCAGCCAAUUUGAGAUGAAAACUCUUGGCUCGGCUUCCUACUUUCUUGGCAUGGAACUUGUGCGUGAUCGCUCUCAACGCACUAUCUAUCUUCACCAAGCCAAGUAUAUAGAAGAGAUGCUGGCCAGGUUUUCUAUGACGAGCUCUAAUCCAGUGGCGACACCAAUGGAACUAGGCUGCCAGCUUUCACGAGCCAUGUCUCCUGAGACAGAGGACGACAAGAGAGCCAUGGACUCCAUCCCUUACAGACAAGCUGUUGGCAGUCUCAUGUAUCCAGCUGUUUGUACGCGCCCAGAUAUUUCUUUUGCCGUGAGCAAAGUUAGCCAAUUCCUGGCUAAUCCUGGAUCUCAACAUUGGGCAGCGGUGAAACGCAUCUUCAGGUACCUUCGAGGUACUACUUACCUUGGAUUGUGCUACCAGGGAAAAGCGCUUACCCUCACGGGCUACUGUGAUGCUGAUUUUGGGGGAGACUGUGACACACGCAAGUCCACCUCUGGCUAUUCAUUUUCCCUGGGCAGUGCGACAGUCUCGUGGUGCAGCAGGAAGCAAAGUACAGUGGCAACCUCUAGUACUGAAGCAGAAUAUUUGGCAGCCUCACAAGCUACCAAAGAAGGUGUGUGGUUACGCUCACUACUUUCUAACCUUGGUGUGAGUGUGAAGACUCCCACUCGCCUCUUCUGUGACAAUCAAAGCUGCAUUGCGUUAGCGGCCAAUCCUCGCUUUCAUUCACGCACCAAACACUUUGGGAUUCAUCAUCAUUUUGUUCGUGAGAAAGUGGAAGAUGGCACAAUUGAGCUGAUCUACUGCGACACGACCACUCAGGUUGCAGAUAUCUUCACAAAAGCACUACCCCGAGAUCGAUUUCAAGUCCAUCGCGAAGGGCUGGGACUUUCUCCACUGAUGAGCAUCACUCGUGAUGGCCACAGUGCCAGUGGGAGUGUUGAGAGUGGCCCUGUGCCACGUGGCUAGUCCACGUGGAGAGACACGAGUCUUCACCGGUUCACCAUGUGACACAUAUGUACAUUUUUCAUUCCAUAUAUGCUAUGACGGAUCUUGAGCACCAUCACACGGUUUCACCUUUCAUUAGAUUCACACCUUGUCCGACGUUGCAAAGUGAGAGUUUUCGACCAUCUUGAGGUAACUGCCAGACUCCAGUCACCUGAAAAUUUAAAUAACCUUUUUAGAAGUCCGCAGUAAUUUUCCAUUUUCCAUAAGUACCUUGUCAUAUUUCUUGCGGAUCUUGACGAAUGCCAUCACGUUCAAGGAGCUGCCAAGUGAGUUUUCAACACUUUGAGAACAUGGAUCAAUCGUAUAGAGGUCAUUCACCUGAAGUUUCUUAGGAGUCGAAGCCCACGAUAAAAUUCGACAAAGGCCGUCUGGAGCAUCUUGGCUGCUCGCUGAACCUUUCCUUUGUUGCCAGGCUCCCCUUCAAGCUCUGAGAUUCGUCAUCUACAACAUGGCAGAGAUCAAACGAUUCCAAGUUAAGUGCCACAGAAUUAGAGGCUGCUAGAACGAACCUUGCAUAGCGAUGAGCUCUUCCAUUUGGAUGUGAAGUUGCCGUGCUUGAGCAUCGUACUCGUCUUCCUUGCAUCUAAAAAACUUGUCCACUUUGUUGAGCUGAUCGUCAAGGCCGAAAAAGAAGCUCUUUUCGUGAUCUGAUCGAGUUCCAAACAGCUCCGUCUCGUAAAAAUCCUCACCAUCUCCAAUUCUCGUCUUGUGCACAACCUGAUCGUAUUGAAGUGUUUUGUUUUGUCUUUACAGUCCAGAACAUCCAUGGACGUUUCCGAGGAUAUGGAUUGUUCGCAGCAGCUGCUCAGGAUGGCGCUGGGAUUUUGCAGCAAGUUUUGAAGCUUGCUCUUGUCAACCGAGAAGACAUUUGGAUCGAACACCUUGUGCUGCUGGUUCUUGGUAUGUAGGAUCUGGUUUUUGAUUCUCUUGACAACUUUCUUGAGCUGCUUGUAGUCGCAGUACUUCACCCACCACUCUGGGACGAGCUGGCCCUCCAGCUGCUUCUGGAACUUCACCAUGUCUGAAAGCUUGGAUUACCUGAGGCGAACAUCGUCAAGAAAACGAUCAAGCAAGAGAUGAAAUACCUGGAGGAAAUGGUGUCAAGUUCAGAAUGCCUCUUCAAACUUUUCUGGCGCCUGUGCUCUGGAAGCAGAGGAAGAACAGUGGCAGUGAGCAUAUGACGAGACAAAUGGUGGCGUGGAAUCAUCAAAUGCAUUGUGCUGGGGAGGAGCACCACCAAUUCUCACAAGAAAACAGCACCUUAAGAUCAUCUCUGGAAAAAAGGAGGAAAGCCUUCUUCUCACCGAGGCCAGCGAACAAUUACAUAAGAAUACGUUUUCCCGAGUGAAACUGACGCAGCAGAGUGCAGGAGGAGAGAAGAAGCAAGCGAUCCAUUGGCCUAUGGAACUAAAAAAGGAAGCAAAAGGACAGGGAAUGCAGGGGAAUCUACAUGAAAAGAAGUUGUCGUAAGUUACACACUUACACACACUCUCACACACUUCAACUCUUUUCUUGUCAACACGAGUAAUUUAUGCGAGCGAAAGGGAAUGAAAGAAUCAUUUGAGCAUCUAAAGCAUGGAAGGAAGCGAGGCACGUACUCUUUCCGGAAAUCACGCUUAUGGAACGUUUUGUUUUGUCGGAGUCCCAAUUGCUGGCGCAACCAAACUGAAAGAAUUGCACAAUCAAUCGCAAGCCAAGCUUGGAAUCGAGAGAGCUUGUUGAGUUCUUGAGGUGAGAGCCUUUUGCUCACUCAAAAACUUGGAGCCUUCUCUCCUUCUGCGAGAGGAAGAGGGAGUGGGGGAGUUUAAUGAUCUGUUUUAAAAUAGUGUUUGUUAAAAAAAACAAAAAACUUAAAUGCUAAAUACCUUUGCAGACUCAUAUUUGUUUUCCCUCCAAGAUUAUGGGAUGAAGAGCAAAAUAUUUUUCCAUGAUUGUCUCCUGUUUUUCUUCUUUCCCAACUGUAGUUGUCACUAGCUUAAUGUGAGACACAAAAUUCCUAGGCCCCAAAGUGGAGCCCGAAGGGUGCCAUGUGGUAGUGGCCGAAGCGAAAGCCAAACGAGUGUAACACGUUUGGGCCAAAAGCUCCGACUUGAAAGGUCGAGAGCAGGAGUGGAACUCCUAACGAAGUGCUCAAGGAAUGAGCACAAGGCGAGCAAUAAGCGAGGCUCCAAAAAGGGACCUAAAAGGACCAACACAUGACACGUGGAGGAGUCUGAGAUGGAGUCCGAGAUGGACCCGAGGUGGAGUCCGAGAUGGACCCGAGAUGGAGUCUGAGGUGGACCCGAGAUGGACCCGAGAUGGAGUCCGAGAUGGAGUCCGAGAUGGACCCGAGGUGGAGUCCGAGAUGGACCCGAGAUGGAGUCCGAGAUGGACCCGAGGUGGAGUCCGAGAUGGACCCGAGAUGGAGUCCGAGAUGGACCCGAGAUGGACCCGAGAUGGAGUCCAAGAUGGAGUCCGAGAUGGACCCGAGGUGGAGUCCGAGAUGGACCCGAGAUGGAGUCCGAGGUGGACCCGAGAUGGACCCGAGAUGGAGUCCGAGAUGGAGUCCGAGAUGGACCCGAGGUGGAGUCCGAGAUGGACCCGAGAUGGAGUCCGAGAUGGACCCGAGAUGGAGUCCAAGAUGGAGUCCGAGAUGGACCCGAGAUGGAGUCCGAAGUCGAGACCGAGACCGGGACCGAGACCGAGACCGAGAUCGGGACCGAGACCGAGACCAAGGCCGAGACCGAGCCCGAGCCCGAGUCCGAGUCCGAGUCCGAAUCCAAGUCCGAGUCCAAGUCCGAGUCCGAGUCCGAGUCCGAGUCCGAGCCUGAGAGGGUGAAAGCCCAAAGCGUUCGUCUCCCAGACCCUGGGGGGUUUGGUGAGCUCCAAAAGUAUAGUAGGGGGAGGACUGCAGUGGAGCCAGUUUGGCCCAGGAAGGCCGGACCCAGUGUUGGGUGAUGAGCUGCCCACUGGGAAGUCCAAGACUAGAGUGAACACGGACCGACAAGCGGGGUAGCUUGGUGAAGUGUUCAAGAGCCGGCUCUAGUUCCCCCGGGAGAUCGACUGGCCGAUGCUCCUAGUCCAAGUGUGGGUGGCACUACCUACUUGGAUACCUGGUGUGGCUCAACGGAACCCGCUCUAAGCCCAUGGCUAGAGCACCCAAGGGCAGAAGGCGAGGAGAGUACCCAGGUGGCUUGCGUAAGGCCACUGUGUUUCGAAAUGUUGUCCCAAAGGCCCAGACUGUGGAAAGGAAGAGGAGCAGUCCUCUGGGGUAGUGACCAAGGACACAGUCGUGUGGUGAGGAAGUCCCAGAGGACCGUGGGACUUAGUGGUCGGGCCUGUGGGUCUCAAUCCAGUGGCAGUGUUGGCAAACACGGCCAGGGGCAGAAAGGGACUUAGUGGGGACUGACAGAGGGAUAUUGGGGAAGGCUAUUCCCCUUGUCGGUGGGCAUCCUAAGGAUGCUAAGGAGUGGAUCUCAGAUGACCACUCACGGAUGGUUUGCCUAGUCUUGGAGAGCCAAGACUGUGAUGCAAGUGGUAAUGGACUACCAGCGUGGCAAAGGUGAUUGGGCAUGGCCUUAGCGUAACAGACUGCCAUGUCGGUGGUACCUUUGAGUGUCGGUCAUGGGAUCGGACACGGGGAGCACUUGGACCAAGUGCAAAUGUUGAGUGGCAUGGAUGCCAUUCUCAGGGCUAGCAAGUCCCAAGUCCUGGAUUGGACUUAUGGAGGUUGUGAAUGAGACUCCUCCAAGUGGUCGGAGGUGUGGUUAAGUGACUAAAGUAGAAUGGAAAAUUUAGUCCCUUACAAUUUGGUAUCGGAGCUGUUCCUUAGUCCGACUUUUAUUGGUGCUCAAGUAUAUCACCACUGGUGUUGGCAACGGAAGGUCUGAGAAGUGGGCCUAUCCUUGAGGAGUAGUAGGUCGGGAAGACAUGGCUCUCCAUUACAGUUCAUGUGUGAACUUGUAGACAAGGUGGUGGAUAGAAAAGGGGCCAAUAAUGGAACGACUUUGGGAUCUUGGGAACAGUGCAAGGUUUUCCUCAUUGAGUUGAGGAGGUGAUCCAGAUGAGCGUUUGACUCAGCAAACGGGCUAAUGUAGUUGGGGUAAACAACUAUAGUUGGGAUCACAGGGAAGAUAGAGACUCCAAAAAUAAUAAAGGAGUCACAAGUUUAUCCUCACAUGGUUGAGGCUGGUGCUCAUGAAGGUGAGACCGGAAUGGAUGACCGUGAGAGGUCAAGUAUGGAUGAGGACACGAGUUCUCGAAAUGGUAACCGGGACUACCUCUAAUAAAUGCUGGAACAACCCAAGGAGUUGGGGGUGUAUUAAGUGGAUGAGUUGGUAUUCUCAUCACAUGGACAAGUAGUCCUAAGGGGCAAAGGUUGCCCCCAGAGAACAAAAUCAAGUGUCAGAGUAACACUUGUGAAAAUAGUCCUUUUGAGUAGGACAGGAAUGCAAGAAGUGUAUUCAAGUGAGCUAGUGCCUCACAAGUGGGACCUUACGGGUCUGUGGAUUAACCAAGUCCAAAACUGCUGGAUGACUCAAGUAGAGUCAAGGAAUGGUCCUAAAAGGACUAAUGGAAGCAUUUGGACUGUACCCCAUGAAGGAUGGAGGGGGGAUCAUAGGAUCCAAGGAUGAGAAUAGAGGGUAUCUUAUCGAUGGCAAAAUGUGCCAUGCUAAAGUCGUGGGAAAGGUGUUCCCAAAAAGAAAACAACUUUGACACAAAGUUGUGUGUGACCUCUAUAAUGCAGUGCUAAUGAAUGGUUGGCAUGAGAAAGAGUGGUAUCGGUUUUGGCAAAGACUUAGACACAAAGAAGAAGUGUUAUAGAGGUAAGCUCGUAGAGCCGAUGGUGUGGAGACACCAAAGGUGCCAAUGUGUGAUACCUUGAGGCUAUGUUGGUGGGUUCAUGGGAACCCCUUGCCAAAGGAAUCCCAAUAGAAAUGGGAAUGGCAUAGCCUAAGCUGCAGAGCAUGCAGUUGGAGUGUGGUGACCCAGAUAAUGAUGGAGGUGUGGAAGCACCAGCAAUGAGUUGUAGGACUUGACAACUACAAGGCAACUAAGCAAGAGGUGCAAAAUAAUUGGUUAAACGGGUAGAAGGUAGCUACCCAAGCCUUCUUAAUGGCAUAGGGAAGUUGGAUAUACCUUUACGGGGGAUAAGUUACUUAUGUUGUGAUAUAGUAAGUCAAUGUCAUAAAAGGAAAUACUCAUUGUCAAGGAAGCCGUCAUUGGGACACCCGAACACUCUAAAACACCAGGAGGUGGUGUUUGAUGUCGCGAGGGCAGUAGAUAAGGCCUAAGGGACUAAGUCCCUAGCGAAUGAUGGAUAGUAGGUGCUAUCCAAAUGUCCAAGGUGGCGGAGACAGGAGAAGACUGUCUACUCGAAUUGGACAAAGCCAAAAAUGGAAUUUUGGCAAGGCUAGCGAUGGGCAUGCAAAGGCUCGUAAGCAACAACGUAAUCCCGGUGUGUGGGAUUAUAGGGUGAGCAUACAUGGAUUGAGGAACCACUCCCUAGGCUAUCGGGUAGGUUCAUCCCUAAGAAUACUUGCUAAGGCAUGAUAGAAAGUGCAAAGCUAUCCUCCUGGUCUGGAGGAGAAUGACUGAAGGAAAGGUGUGAAGCCAAAAGGAAGAAGUAAGGGGAUAGAACCAAACCAUAGGAAUCGAAGGGCAUAACCAAUGUUGGUUAUGCCAGCUGGGAAUGGAGAAUCAAGUGGGGGCUCGAGGGUGUUGCCGCUAGCAACCGUGAUGCCAUGGAGAGUCGAAAAUAUGGAAUUGUCCAUGUUAGACUAUAUGGUAAUUGGAAAGCUUGCAGAAAGGGGGGCCUUAGCAAGCUAAGGGACAGAGUUCCUUCAAGGUUCCCAAAGAGGAUUCUAGGUAGCUUAGUACCUAGAAAGGCCAAGUGUAAAUGGUUCAUGGAAUGCGCGAAAUCAGAGUGGCGCAGCAGAAGCGUGGUAUUGAAGCUUGCCAUGAGGCAAGGCUAUCAAGGUUAGGGAAGUAGUUCCCGAGUGUUCAAAGAGAGGGCUUUGAACGAAAGUCGAUGGUCAAGGACUUUCACGCUUAUGCAGGAACCAUGUUACAGUGGUCGGAGGACUUGCCAAGCGAGAUUGGCAAGUCAGGGGAACAAAUACCCUAGUUGAAGGUGAUAACUUCAAAAAGGGUGGGCCAUGGGGCCAAGCAUGGAGGAGUCCAUGCAUGAUCACAGACUUGUCAAGUGAGAGGACUUGGUAGUGUGGAGGAACUAGGUUCCUAAGUUGUGAUCUGUAGCGCGCUUUAAAUAUAGGUUGGUGCACCGGCGUGGGGAGUCACGCCAAGCAUCUUGUGUGAUGCCGUCCGUAGAUGCAUAUACGGAGGUUGGGUUCGAGUCCCGACCCUCUAGUGCUUGGGUUCGAGUCCCAAAUCACUAGGGCGUGGUGAUGGUUUGGAAUAUGAGGACACUCAUAUUUCGGUGGUCAUGGACUCUCAGUGUGGAGACUGGUUUGGGCACACCGCCAAGCGAGGGAUGCCUCGGAGUCGUGAUGCACAGUUAGAUUGCUUAGUGUGAAAGCUCGGCAUAUUUAACUUGAACGCUUUGGUGCAACUGGCACCAAGGUCGUGGUGAGUGAGAUGGGGACACCUAAUCUCAGUUGCUAUGAACCCCCAAGUUGGCCGUAAGGGCUAGCUUGGGUGCACCGCCAAGUGUGGGGGAUGCCCCCGGGGUUAUAGUCAACAACUUGGAGGUCUAGAAGACCAAGUACCUCUUGGCAACUCUGUUAAGGUGCCAAGGUGAGAUCACUAGAUGAUCUUAUGGCCAAAUAAGGACAAUGUCCUUGGUUGGCUAAAGAAUGAAGUUCCUGGUUUAAAAUGUUGAAAUUAAACUGUUUAAGGUGGUGUGGCUUGGUCGUGAUGACCAAGUGGGAAGAGCACCUAAGGGAAAUAAACUAUGUCCGUGCGAUGGCAUAGUGAGUCCAAGGAAAGUAGUCUCUAUAAAAGACCCAUGGGAGGGUCACGAAGUUGGGCCGUGGAUAAAGCCCAUAGCAGAAGAUGCUAAAGAGACGUAUUAGGGGUGAAUAUCCUUCGGACUUGGCAAAGAAGAGUCUUUGCUAUGGAACCGAAAGGAUACCUCAAAAAUGGAGGUAGCGAUCCUAUGUUGCUAGGUGCAACAAUCAAGGAUAGGAGCAAAGGACUAGUGGCCAAGUUUGGGCCAUGGAAUUUAAUGGAAGGGAUCCAAAUGGCAAAGUUAGCCAAGGAACACUAAUGUAUUCGAUGUUAACAGCUUGUGGGAAAGGAAGUGGACUUCCAAGGAUGGAUUCCUAAGUGCUUCAAUUUGGCGAAGUAAAAGCUCCAAGUGAGGGAGUGGUAAGGUAGCCAAAUGAUAGAGCCAUGGACAACCCUAGCACAAAGUAUGAUAAAUGGAACUUAGUGCCCAAGGUGGCACGAAAAAGAAGAGAGGAUGCUGGUGCCCUCAAGUAAUGAACUUCCUAGGAUGGGGAAGUGGAGUUGCACAAUCUGUGCAAUGCAAGGUGUUGGAGACACUUAGGAAAUUGACUUCCAAAAGUCAAAAGAGUAAAAGUUCCAAGGUGCAAACGUUCAAUAGAUAGAAAUUGAGAUUACUCGAGGAGUAGUGGGAUUGACUUAGAGAAGGGUCUCUAAGAGGUUUAGCGAGAACUAAACCAAUAAAAGGAGAGAACCACUACAUGUGGUCCAAAGAGUCUCUAAGUUGGGGAGACUACCCUCCUUAGAGGAUGGACAAGGCAUGGUGAGCCUUUGGUGUCAAACCAUAGACAAAGAUUGGCUAGGUGCCAAGGAUGGAAAUGGUAACACGUGUGGGUGUUACUUUAUGAAAGGGUUUACCGUUCGAUGAGGACAUCGAACUUCGUCUAUGGGUGGUGGAGUUGUGAGACACAAAAUCCCUAGGCCCCAAAGUGGAGCCCGAAGGGUGCCAUGUGGUAGUGGCCGAAGUGAAAGCCAAACGAGUGUAACACGUUUGGGCCAAAAGCUCCGACUUGAAAGGUCGAGAGCGGGAGUGGAACUCCUAACGAAGUGCUCAAGGAAUGAGCACAAGGCGAGCAAUAAGCGAGGCUCCAAAAAGGGACCCAAAAGGACCAACACAUGACACGUGGAGGAGUCUGAGAUGGAGUCCGAGAUGGACCCGAGGUGGAGUCCGAGAUGGACCCGAGAUGGAGUCUGAGGUGGACCCGAGAUGGACCCGAGAUGGAGUCCGAGAUGGAGUCCGAGAUGGACCCGAGGUGGAGUCCGAGAUGGACCCGAGAUGGAGUCCGAGAUGGACCUGAGGUGGAGUCCGAGAUGGACCCGAGAUGGAGUCCGAGAUGGACCCGAGAUGGACCCGAGAUGGAGUCCAAGAUGGAGUCCGAGAUGGACCCGAGGUGGAGUCCGAGAUGGACCCGAGAUGGAGUCCAAGGUGGACCCGAGAUGGACCCGAGAUGGAGUCCGAGAUGGAGUCCGAGAUGGACCCGAGGUGGAGUCCGAGAUGGACCCGAGAUGGAGUCCGAGAUGGACCCGAGAUGGAGUCCGAGAUGGACCCGAGAUGGAGUCCGAAGUCGAGACCGAGACCGGGACCGAGACCGAGACCGAGAUCGGGACCGAGACCGAGACCAAGGCCAAGGCCGAGACCGAGCCCGAGCCCGAGCCCGAGUCCGAGUCCGAAUCCGAGUCCGAGUCCGAGUCCGAGUCCGAGUCCGAGUCCGAGUCCGAGCCUGAGAGGGUGAAAGCCCAAAGCGUUCGUCUCCCAGACCCUGGGGGGUUUGGUGAGCUCCAAAAGUAUAGUAGGGGGAGGACUGCAGUGGAGCCAGUUUGGCCCAGGAAGGCCGGACCUAGUGUUGGGUGAUGAGCUGCCCACUGGGAAGUCCAAGACUAGAGUGAACACGGACCGACAAGCGGGGUAGCUUGGUGAAGUGUUCAAGAGCCGGCUCUAGUUCCCCCGGGAGAUCGACUGGCCGAUGCUCCUAGUCCAAGUGUGGGUGGCACUACCUACUUGGAUACCUGGUGUGGCUCAACGGAACCCGCUCUAAGCCCAUGGCUAGAGCACCCAAGGGCAGAAGGCGAGGAGAGUACCCAGGUGGCUUGCGUAAGGCCACGGUGUUUCGAAAUGUUGUCCCAAAGGCCCAGACUGUGGAAAGGAAGAGGAGCAGUCCUCUGGGGUAGUGACCAAGGACACAGUCGUGUGGUGAGGAAGUCCCAGAGGACCGUGGGACUUAGUGGUCGGGCCUGUGGGUCUCGAUCCAGUGGCAGUGUUGGCAAACACGGCCAGGGGCAGAAAGGGACUUAGUGGGGACUGACAGAGGGAUAUUGGGGAAGGCUAUUCCCCUUGUCGGUGGGCAUCCUAAGGAUGCUAAGGAGUGGAUCUCAGAUGACCACUCACGGAUGGUUUGCCUAGUCUUGGAGAGCCAAGACUGUGAUGCAAGUGGUAAUGGACUACCAGCGUGGCAAAGGUGAUUGGGCAUGGCCUUAGCGUAACAGACUGCCAUGUCGGUGGUACCUUUGAGUGUCGGUCAUGGGAUCGGACACGGGGAGCACUUGGACCAAGUGCAAAUGUUGAGUGGCAUGGAUGCCAUUCUCAGGGCUAGCAAGUCCCAAGUCCUGGAUUGGACUUAUGGAGGUUGUGAAUGAGACUCCUCCAAGUGGUCGGAGGUGUGGUUAAGUGACUAAAGUAGAAUGGAAAAUUUAGUCCCUUACACUUAAAUAUCUCUUGCACAUCUUCCGCUUUGGGAUUUGUAAUUAGCUUGCUUUUGAGAAGACAUGAAUCCAAAAAGCUUAUGAGCUUUCCCUUGGUUUCAUCCACCAUUGCAUUCACUAUCUCUCUAGCACCAGCAAAAUGUCCUCCAACUUUGGCCCCAAUAAAUAAUAGGAUCAAUGUAUAUUUAAGUACUGGAGCAAAUUUAUUGAGCCAAUUUGGUGGGAUAUUCAAUUCAACACCUUCAGAACUCUUCACUUGAUGACCUUUAGAAGUUCCUUGAGGCCAUUCACACAAAUAGUGAAGUCUACCAUGUGUUCCCAAUAUUUUACUGUAAUUUUUCCACCUAUUAUUCUCAUCAAGAAUAUAUGGAUAUUUUGGGCAAUCUGUCUCCAAUUUCAAUAAUACUUGAAAACACGUUGUAUGGAUUGCAUUCACUUUAUCCAUGAUAGACUUGAGUCCAUUCUUCAGCUCGUUAAGGCUUACUUCAAUGUUAUCAAGUUUUGUAUCCAAUUUGUCAAACCGGUUCUCCAUUUUAUCAAACUUCUUAUCAAAAUAUCUAAAGAUUGCAUCGAGUUUUGGGUCUUCAAUGUUCGAAAACUCAACAACAUCUGAUGAUGCUUUGGGAAUUGUGACUUCUCUAACCUCCUCAUAGUCCUUCAAAAAUUCAUAAAGUUCAAUAAACUUCUUUACCCCUUCAUGUUUUUGCUCGUUAGGCAUCAAUAGCUUAGCCAAAGCAUUCCAUCUGAGACUUUCAAAUCGUUAAUCACAUCCCAACUCUCUACUUCAUGUGAAUCAUUCCAAGUAUGAGAGUAGUCUAAACCGCUUUCUCUUGCUUCACAUUUGACUUGCUUUAAUGGAUAAAUAACUGCAUCCCAUGAUUUUGGUUUGCCCACAUUAUUUAGUAUCCUUCUCCACACAUAACCACGUCUCAUUACAUUUUCUUCAAUUUCCAAACAUGGGCAAUCCUCCAAACAUACCCCAAUAAUGCAAUUUCUAAUUUUUUCCAUCCAUCCUUUAGCUUCCUUUUCCAAAUCUGGCCUUAGUGUAUUCUCUACCUCUUUUGGGUAAUAGAUGAUGACAUCAACCCAUUGCCUAUCUUUCCAAUUGUCUGUGUCUCCCCCAACUCUCACAAUUGUCUUGAUAAGGUUUUCUUUCAAAGCCACCCAUCCAUUCCCAAGCCUGAAAUCUUUCUUGCUUAAUUUGUGAAGUUUAACUUGGAUCUUUGUGAAAAUACUUGCAGGAAACAAUUUCAAGUCCUUGUCUUUGCAUUCAAACCUCCUGCCCCAGUAGUUGUGGUUUUUUUGAGUGUCAAUUGGCACUGAGGGUGACAAUAAAUAUUCUGGAGGUGAAUAUUCUUCUUGCAAUAGUGUUGGCAUUCUCAACUCUUUGGGCAAGUUAUGCCAAUUCCCAUCCCAUGUAUCAUCCCAAGGCAAUAUCACUCCCAUCUCAUGGAGCACUCCAAGAAUGUACUCCACUAUUUUGUCUUGGUUCCCACAUUGUUGCUUCAACUGAUGUUUAACUCUGUGUGUUUCCAUUUGACUUUUGAGUUUGCUUGUCUCAGUAUGUAUGAAGAGUUGCACCACAUCCCUCAUAAACCAUUGGACAUCUAAGAUGACAAAUUGAGACACAAUGUCGUCCUCUUCAUGUCCCAAGCCAAAGUAAAUUGCAUCACCAGAAUCAUGUAGAAAUUGCAAGACGAAUUUGAGAACAUCCUUGGAACUCCUGUGAGGCAAAAGGAUUUUGCCAACUUUAUCUAGGGGUAUGACCUUCUUGUGAGUUGGAUCUUGUACCAAUUUCCUCUUUGCUUUGAGACAUUCCCGUGGUAUUUUUUGCUGGGCUGACAGCAGUUCUUCCAAGCAACUCCCCAACAUGGUUUUUAUCCCCCUUAAAUCUUUCACUUGAGUGGCCACCACCUCAAAACAAAGAUCUGUCCCAAACUCAAGUACUUGCUCAUAGCCUUUGUCGGAGAUUAUUGCAGAAACCACCUCCUUUGGGUCAAAGUCGGGUUCUGGAGUGAAAAAGUUCGAGGCAAUCAAGACCCUGGGCUUCCUUUUGGGUGAGGCUGAUUGAUGUGAAGCGAUGAACCUCAGCCAGUAAACCAAAUUCUGCUUGAAAACGUCACAAUUGUCAUCCUCCACCUUGCAUACGAUCAAGAAGAGAUCGUUCUCACUUCCUCUGAGAAAGUACUGGUGGAAAGCAUGGAACUCUUCCUGUCCAGCCAGGUCGCAAAUGAGCAGCUUUUGUUUGGUGGUCGCAUAGACAAGUGGUUGCAGCUCAAUGCCUGCUGUUGAAGCAUGCCUUUGGAGACAUGAUGGAAACCAAGACACUCUGCGGCAGAGGUUUUUUUUUAUUGUGGUCUUUCCAACCCUGCUAGCACCACACAAGAAGAGCUUUGCUGUUGACGGGUUGUCAAAGUCUUUGAAUGCACUCUGCUGGAAGAUUGCAUUCCGCUCUAAAAGACCAGAACACCUCUGCUUGAAAGCUUCAGAAGCUUCGGAAUCCCAGCCUAGAUCAAGCUCUUCCACGAGGCUUUGGUAGUUUUCCUCCAGGGCAGCCAGAAUUUGUCUUUUCUGUGCAUCACUUGUAAGAUCAGGAGCCCUGAAUCUGCGCACCUUGCAUUUUGGAUCCCCCAGCAACUGGCAAAGCUCUUCCAGGUUUUCAAAUUUUCGCUCAGAUAUUUUCAAGUCUUCAAUGCUGCUUCCCAAAAGGCACCUCCAUGGCAGUUCCGACUCACACAACAAAGCUUUCAGAGACUUGCAGCUGGAGAUAGCUUUCCAAAAGAGCUCCCCAUUCGUGAUUUUGCAACUCCAUAUACCCAAAUGCUCCAGUUGGCUCUUCUCUAUGCCCUCGGCAAACUCCAACGUUAACUCAUCUUGUCCACCACUUAUUACCAAAUGGCGCAGCUUACAAUGUGGACUUGAGAGGGCUGACCACAGACUGCUGUCACCGACCAUUCCUCCUCCCUCGUUGGGCGAAAAAAGAUGAAGCUUGAUCAGCUUGCAAUUGGGAUUUUGUAGCGCUUUGCCCAACCAUCCACCACCUGGAUAAAGAGUAACGCUGAGUUCCUCCAAGCCACACUUAGCGCUGCUCAGGGCCUCACCCAGGCCCGUUGCAUUGCUCAGGUCCUCACUCUGUCUCAUUUCUUGGCAAUCUAAAACUGACAGGCUGGUGCCCUCCUGAAGAGCCUUGCAUACCCAUGGCAACACUGCAGGAUCAGUUUCCCAAAGUAGGUUUAGUCUUUGCAGUGAACAGCUUGGACAAGUGAGUGCCUUGAAGAGUGCUUCACCUGCCUCCUCUGGAAACGAAUAUGCCUGCAGUGCCACUAGCUUAUUGCAAAUGCCAUUCUGAAAUGCCUGUUCCCACCGUGCCUUGCCUAAACCCUCAUCUCUGAUGGCUAACUCUUCCACCUUGCACUCCUGACUUGCCAGAUCCCUACUCAAUUUCCCAAAUCCUUCCACUGUCAUCCUGUUCCCCAGCAAUUGGAGACGUUUCAAGUUGUUUCCUGGUUUCCUAAGGAGUUGGCUAAGGAGAGUCUCUGGGUUCCCAACAUUGCGCAAGCAGAGCUCUGUCAAGCAGUCGAGCUGAGCAAAGGCCAACUCAAGCUCCUGAGGUGGUGUGAGGAUGUCUUUGCCUAGCCAAUUGAAUUCUAGCCCUUUCAAGACCUUGAAUUCCUCUGUCAUCGUCAGUAGCUUUGCAAACCUCUGCAUCUCAAUCUGCCAAAUAUCCUGUCCCUGCUGAGGAGGAGCAAUGCCCUCUGCCACCCUUUGCAUUCGAUCACUGGGAAUGCCCAACCUACAAGCGACCCUGGCAACGGCGUUGAUGAAUCUGAUGUCGAGCUGUGGUACCAAAGCGGCCUUGAGAAUGUCAAUGUGAGCAGCAGCAGCAGCAGACGAACUGCCAUCACCAGGAGCAUCUCCCACAUCCAGAGCCCUGUCUAACCAGGGUGGAUUUGAAAUGCACCAGUUGAGCACACCAAUCAGAUCCUCCUCUGUGCCUCCAAACCACUCGACGGUAGCACUCACCUCAUCAACAAACUCACCUUUGGAUGCGUCAAGCGCCUCCAGCUUCCCGAUGUGCCCACAAUAAAACCCAAUCGUAUUGAAGUGCCGCUUGUUGUCCCGCUUCGCUGCGAGAGCCUCCUUGAUCUCCUUGACAGAGAUACAGUAGGUCCACACUCGUCGCUCCUCCUCCAUGGAAGUUUGCCCUGGAUCGAAGGGACAGUGGAGAGCACGAGUAAACUUGUAAAAGUGAACCUUGCCAGCAGUGGAAGCAAAGCAGUAAAGAAAGUAUGCCAGCUGUGCAAGAAAAGCAAAGCAUAUGCCAGCUGUGCAAGAAAAGCAAAGCAUAUGCCAGCUGUGGAAGCAAAGCCAUCGUAUGGAAGCAAAGCGGACAGUACAAGCAAGAGUUAAUUUAGGUUUUAGGGUUCUUCGAGCAAGACGGCCGAGAAGCGAGCUCAUCGCGACGAGAAGAAGGUGUGGGACGAGGAUGAUAUUGAUGCGAUCUUGGUAAGCAAAGCACUGGCCAAAGACUCUCAAUCGUUUUCCUUCUUGUCAGGCUAAACUCCACGAGGAGAGAGCAAAGAAGAGCGAAAUUCAUGUCGAUGAGAAUGUAGCAGCUCCUUCACCACAAUGCAAUUGCUCUGUGCGUAAGAACUCGAUUGAAAUCUCCACUCUGGAAGCUCACAUUCUCUAGAAUUCUUCUUUUCUUGCGUUUCAGGUGACUGUAAAUCCCGUCAAGGACACUGCGCUGAUCGUCCAUGGAGGUGAAUACCAACAAUGGUGACAAGGUUUGUGGUUAGUUUCGCUACGGUGAUUUGAUCUUCGUGUUUGCUAUGCUAGACUUACGUUUAUGGUGAUCUCUACCAAUACAACAUCGAGAAGAACGAGUGGAAGCCUGUCACCAGUCCAAACUCUCCUCCCCGAGAAGCGCUCACCAGGGGGUUGCGUGGAAAAACUGGCGCUUCAGUUUUGGUAUGAUGUAUUUUUCAGGACUUCUCUUGAUUUUGGCAGUGUAGGUGGUGAAUUCGGUUUCAUCACUAUAAGGUGACUUACAAGAGAGUUCUUGCAGGAUUUAUGGAGACUGGAUUUAAACACAAACGUGUGGCGGGAGCAGCUUCAACUAAAAGGCUGUCCAGGUGCUCGUUCCGGACAUAGAUUGGUAUGUAUUGCGCUUCUAAACAUAAUCUUUAUUUUUUUCUUUCUUGCCACAGAAACAUAAACUUAUUCUAUUUGGUGGAUUUUAUGACACGCUGAGGGAAGAAAGGUCGGCCGUUUCAGCAGUGUAGAUGUUUAGUAUUGAAUUUUUGACACAGGUACUUCAAUAAUCUUUAAGUGCUGGAUUUAGACGAUUAUAAGGUUUGUUUCUGUCGCUCAUCGCUCUUCCUUGUUUUUUAACAACUAAACUGAUUUCCUUUUGCAGGUGAUUCCCUGCACAGCGUUUUUAUGAUCGAGAUGUAUAUGCUUUCCAGAUGGUUUGUAUCUCGUCGAUUUUUUUAAAAUUAUCUAAACACCAUCGCUCGCAGGUAUCCUUUGGAGCUUCUCAAGCCAAAGAGCCUAAAGAUUAAGGUAUGGCAAUCUGAGAUUGUGUAGUGGUUAAGUGUGCAUCCAAAGCAGAAGAAAGUGGCUGAUCCAAAUGUGGAAAAUGCGUCUCAACGUUGAGCGUUCUGCUUGAAGGUUGUUGCCUGGUGGAAGAAUGAAUGCUGGAAUGGUCGUUGGAAAGGAUACUUUGUUUCUGUAUGGAGGUAUGAAAGAAGUCGGCAAAAAAAAAGUGACACGACGACCUUUCCUCGCUGGACCUUCGAUGUGUGGAAGUGCAUUAUUGAGGUUAGUAUGAUCGAGCCAUCAUCCAGCCUCAUACUAAUGUCUCAAGCAGGAAACACAAAGCGCGUGGAUUGAAGCUAGUAAGGAGAAAGGCGAAACUGAUGGUGACAACAGUCACCAUGCUGGAUCGAUUAAUAAAGGAAAAGACGAAGAGGACGAUGACGAGGUAGUAAAAAAGAAGGAUGUAAGAAAACUUGUCGGUUUCCUUUUGUAUUCUAGGAUGCAGUGGAGUCACUGUGAAGAGGCAGCUGCUAUUCUUAGGGGCGAAGGCAAAAAGCUGACACAGAAAGCACGGAAAUUAAAGAUCGAUCCGAGCUGGGCCUGGCUGAUUCCCAACAAACACUUUUGGUGAGUGCUGAUAGUAGUUCAUCUUCCUGUUUUGUUAUUGAUUUGUCUUUCAGCCUGGAGAAACGCUGAGGGAUUUUUUAUCUUGGACGAUCAUGUGUUGGCAAAUGGCACCUUACGAUCACACCCAACACACUGGAAAGGUGACAACGCAGGUUUUCUUUCGCUCGUUCUUCAUGCUCUAUGCAUCUAUCAGGAGCUCAGGAAGGAUGGAUUUGACUUGGCAAAGAGACGCUACAGAGAACUUAAACCCGGUUGGGGUCCACGUCGUCAACAAAACGAUGCGGAUCAAUGUUAAAAACCCACAGACUGGUACGUGCAAUGCUUUACAGCCAGAAGUUUUGGCUUUCUUAGCGAAAAAUCGUGCAGAAUCUGGCAAGGAAAAGGAAAAGUAUAAUCGGGCCACUAACAUUGCGAAUGGAAGAUAAGCUAAAAUGCAUUUAUUUUCGUUCUCUUUCUUUCUGCGUGGUAUGGCGGACUUCUCUCAGCAUAUCCCGAGCUCCAUAUCCAGUGAUUCAAAGCAAAGUUCUCACCCUUAUACCCCUCUUUGAUGAUAGUCGGGCAAUUAUCACACCACUAUUCUUCCAUGUCUUGUGUGUCUCUAGUCGGCCAACCAGAGUAUAAAAUGCGCCCACCACCUUCAUUGCAAACUCCCCCCGCUCCCUCUUCCUCUCGCAGAAGGAGAGAAGGCUCCAAGUUUUUGAGUGAGCAAAGGGCUCUCACCUCGAGAACUCGACAAGCUCUCUCGAUUCCAAGCUUGGCUCCUUCGGUUAUUCUUCUCCUCUUUGUCCCCUUGCAAGAGUAAGUUUUUUCUUUGCUUUCGUAGUUCUGAGCUUGCGAUUCUUUCAGUUUGGUUGCGCCAGCAAUCGGGACUCUGACGAAACAAAACGCUCCAUAAGCGUGAUUUCCAGAAAGAGUACGUGCCUCGCUUCCUUCCAUGCUUUAGAUGCUCAAAUGAUUCUUUCAUUCCCUUUCGCUCCAUAAAUUCCCUUUCUCGUGUUGACAAGAAAAGAGUUGAAGUGUGUGAGAGUGUGUGUAAGUGUGUAACUUACGACAGCUUCUUUUCAUGUAGAUUCCCCUGCAUUCCCUGUCCUUUUGCUUCCUUUUUUAGUUCCAUAGGCCAAUGGAUCGCUUGCUUCUUCUCUCCUCCUGCGCUCUGCUGCGUCAGUUUCACUCGGGAAAACGUAUUCUUAUGUAAUUGUUCGCUGGCCUCGGUGAGAAACGAAGGCUUUCCCCCUUUUUUCCAGAGAUGAUCUUAAGGCGCUGUUUUCUUGUGAGAAUUGGUGAUGAUUCCACGCCACCAUUUGUCUCGUCAUAUGCUCACUGCCACUGUUCUUCCUCUGCUUCCAGAGCACAGGCGCCAGAAAAGUUUGAAGAGGCAUUCUGAACUUGACACCAUUUCCUCCAGGUAUUUCAUCUCUUGCUUGAUCGUUUUCUUGACGAUGUUCGCCUCAGGUAAUCCAAGCUUUCAGACAUGGUGAAGUUCCAGAAGCAGCUGGAGGGCCAGCUCGUCCCAGAGUGGCGGGUGAAGUACUGCGACUACAAGCAGCUCAAGAAAGUUGUCAAGAGAAUCAAAACCCAGAUCCUACAUACCAAGAACCAGCAGCACAAGGUGUUCGAUCCAAAUGUCUUCUCGGUUGACAAGAGCAAGCUUGAAAACUUGCUGCAAAAUCCCAGCGCCAUCCUGAGCAGCUGCUGCGAACAAUCCAUAUCCUCGGAAACGUCCAUGGUCUGUGAUGAUGGUCUAAAACACUUCAAUAUGAUCAGGUUGUGCACAAGACGAGAAUUGGAGAUGGCGAGGAUUUUUACGAGACAGAGCUGUUUGGAACUCGAUCGGAUCACGAAAAGAGCUUCUUUUUCGGCCUUGACGAUCAGCUCAACAAAGUGGACAAGUUUUUUAGAUGCAAGGAAGACGAGUACGAUGCUCAAGCACGGCAACUUCACAUCCAAAUGGAAGAGCUCAUCCCUAUGCAAGGUUCGUUCUAGCAGCCUCUAAUUCUGUGGCACUUAACUUGGAAUCGUUUGAUCUCUGCCAUGUUGUAGAUGACGAAUCUCAGAGCUUGAAGGGGAGCCCGGCAACAAAGGAAAGGUUCAGCGAGCAGCCAAGAUGCUCCAGACGGCCUUUGUCGAAUUUUAUCGUGGGCUUCGACUCCUAAGAAACUUCAGGUGAAUGACCUCUAUACGAUUGAUCCAUGUUCUCAAAGUGUUGACAACUUACUUGGCAGCUCCUUGAACAUGAUGGCAUUCGUCAAGAUCCGCAAGAAAUAUGAAAAGGUACUUAUGGAAAAUGGAAAAUUAGUGCAGACUUCUAAAAAGGUUUUUUAAAUUUUCAGGUGACUGGAGUCUGGCAGUCGAAAACUCUCACUUUGCAACGUCGGACAAGGUGUGAAGAAAUUUUCCUUUUGAGGGUCUUGCUGAUGGAAUUUCAUUGCUCCAAUGCACUCCAAGCGAGCAAUCAUGGAAAUAUAAACUUUAUCCUGGGUAAGAGCAGGAUAUCCAUUUCAUGCAUUCGGACCGUCGUUAUUAAUUAACCUUCUAUCACCAUUGAUGAUGCGACGCAGAGAUUGUAUACUAGUGGUUUCAUGGCAAUGGCAUUGCCUCUAGAAAAGGAAAGCAGUCACCAUACCUUUGGGAAUAACUGUAAUCUAUUCAUUUAAUUUUCAGCUAGAACUUUCAGAGAUCACGGACCUUAUCGUUUCUUCUUGCUGCGCUUUUGGUAGCCUCCUCUUCGGCGUUGUGGUCGGCUUCAAGUCUCGUGAGCUGCAAAUCAAACAAUGCUGUAGUGAGGAUUCCUUCUUGAGACACCACUUUACCUUGUCAAGGACGGGUUUAAGUUCUCUGUAGCGUGUCUUUGCCAAGUCAAAUCCAUCCUUCCUGAGCUCCUGAUAGAUGCAUAGAGCAUGAAGAACGAGCGAAAGAAAACCUGCGUUGUCACCUUUCCAGUGUGUUGGGUGUGAUCGUAAGGUGCCAUUUGCCAAUACAUGAUCGUCCAAGAGAAAAAAUCUCUCAGCGUUUCUCCAGGCUGAAAGACAAAUCAAUAACAAAACAGGAAGAUGAACUACUAUCAGCACUCACCAAAAGUGUUUGUUGGGAAUCAGCCAUGCCCAGCUCGGAUCGACCUUUAAUUUCCGUGCUUUCUGUGUCAGUUUUUUGCCUUCGCCCCUAAGAAUAGCAGCUGCCUCUUCACAGUGACUCCACUGCAUCCUAGAAUACAAAAGGAAACCGACAAGUUUUCUUACAUCCUUCUUUUUUACUACCUCGUCAUCGUCCUCUUCGUCUUUUCCUUUAUUAAUCGAUCCAGCAUGGUGACUGUUGUCACCAUCAGUUUCGCCUUUCUCCUUACUAGCUUCAAUCCACGCGCUUUGUGUUUCCUGCUUGAGACAUUAGUAUGAGGCUGGAUGAUGGCUCGAUCAUACUAACCUCAAUAAUGCACUUCCACACAUCGAAGGUCCAGCGAGGAAAGGUCGUCGUGUCACUUUUUUUUCGCCGACUUCUUUCAUACCUCCAUACAGAAACAAAGUAUCCUUUCCAACGACCAUUCCAGCAUUCAUUCUUCCACCAGGCAACAACCUUCAAGCAGAACGCUCAACGUUGAGACGCAUUUUCCACAUUUGGAUCAGCCACUUUCUUCUGCUUUGGAUGCACACUUAACCACUACACAAUCUCAGAUUGCCAUACCUUAAUCUUUAGGCUCUUUGGCUUGAGAAGCUCCAAAGGAUACCUGCGAGCGAUGGUGUUUAGAUAAUUUUAAAAAAAUCGACGAGAUACAAACCAUCUGGAAAGCAUAUACAUCUCGAUCAUAAAAACGCUGUGCAGGGAAUCACCUGCAAAAGGAAAUCAGUUUAGUUGUUAAAAAACAAGGAAGAGCGAUGAGCGACAGAAACAAACCUUAUAAUCGUCUAAAUCCAGCACUUAAAGAUUAUUGAAGUACCUGUGUCAAAAAUUCAAUACUAAACAUCUACACUGCUGAAACGGCCGACCUUUCUUCCCUCAGCGUGUCAUAAAAUCCACCAAAUAGAAUAAGUUUAUGUUUCUGUGGCAAGAAAGAAAAAAAUAAAGAUUAUGUUUAGAAGCGCAAUACAUACCAAUCUAUGUCCGGAACGAGCACCUGGACAGCCUUUUAGUUUGAAGCUGCUCCAGCCACACAUAUUUGUGUUUAAAUCCAGUCUCCAUAAAUCCUGCAAGAACUCUCUUGUAAGUCAGCUAGAAACACAGCUUAUAGUGAUGAAACCGAAUUCACCACCUACACUGCCAAAAUCAAGAGAAGUCCUGGAAAAAUACAUCAUACCAAAACUGAAGAGCCAGUUUUUCCACGCAACCCCCUGGUGAGCGCUUCUCGGGGAGGAGGGUUUGGACUGGUGACAGGCUUCCACUCGUUCUUCUCGAUGUUGUAUUGGUAGAGAUCACCAUAAACGUAAGUCUAGCAUAGCAAACACGAAGAUCAAAUCACCGUAGCGAAACUAACCACAAACCUUGUCACCAUUGUUGGUAUUCACCUCCAUAGACGAUCAGCGCAGUGUCCUUGACGGGAUUUACAGUCACCUGAAACGCAAGGAAAGAAGAAUUCUAGAGAAUGUGAGCUUCCAGAGUGGAGAUUUCAAUCGAGUUCUUACGCACAGAGCAAUUGCAUUGUGGUGAAGGAGCUGCUACAUUCUCAUCGACAUGAAUUUCGCUCUUCUUUGCUUUCUCCUCGUGGAGUUUAGCCUGACAAGAAGGAAAACGAUUGAGAGUCUUUGGCCAGAGCUUUGCUUACCAAGAUCGCAUCAAUAUCAUCCUCGUCCCACACCUUCUUCUCGUCGCGAUGAGCUCGCUUCUCCGCCGCCUUGGCCGUCUUGCUCGAAGAACCCUAAAACCUAAAUUAACUCUUGCUUGUACUGUCCGCUUUGCUUUCAUACUUCCACAGCUGGCAUAUGCUUUGCUUCCACAGCUGGCAUAUGCUUUGCUUUUCUUCCACAGCUGGCAUACUUUCUUUAGUGCUUUGCUUCCACUGCUGGCAAGGUUCACUUUCAAGUUUACUCGUGCUCUCCACUGCCCCUUCGAUCCAGGGCAAACUUCCAUGGAGGAGGAGCGACGAGAGUGGAUCAUCUGUGAUUCUGUCAAGGAGAUCAAGGAGGCUCUCGCAGCGAAGCGGGACAACAAGCGGCACUUCAAUGCGAUUCGGUUUGAUUGUGGGGAGAGGCUGGAUGCGCUUGACUCAUCCAAAGGUGAGUUUGUUGAUGAGGUGAGUGCUACCGUUGAGGGGUUUGGAGGCACAGAGGAGGAUCUGAUUGGUGUGCUCAACUGGUGCAUUUCAAAUCCACCCUGGUUAGACGGGGCUCUGGAUGUGGGAGAUGCUCCUGGUGAUGGCAGUUCGUCUGCUGCUGCUGCUGCUGCUCACAUUGACAUUCUCAAGGCCGCUUUGGUACCACAGCUCGACAUCAGAUUCAUCCACUUCGCUGCCAGGGUCGCUUGUAGGUUGGGCAUUCCCAGUGAUCGAAUGCAAAGGGUGGCAGAGGGCAUUGCUCCUCCUCAGCAGGGACGGGAUAUUCGCCAGAUUGAGGUGCAGAGGUUUGCAAAGCUACUGAUGAUGACAGAGGAAUUCAAAGUCUUGAAAUUGCUAAUAUUCAAUUGGGAAGGCAAAGACGUCCUCACACCACCUCAGGAGCUUGAGUUGGCCUUUGCUCAGCUCGACUGCUUGACAGACCUCCAGUUGUGGCAUGUUGGGAACCCAGAGACUCUACUUAGCCAACUCCUUAGGAAAGCAGGAAACAACUUGAAACAUCUCUGGUUGGAGAGGAACAGGAUGACAGUGGAAGGAUUUGGGAAAUUGAGUAGGGAUCUGGCAAGUCAGGAGUGCAAGGUGGAAGAGUUAGCCAUCGUUCUGGAUGAGGACAUUGACAAGGAAGGGUGGGAACAGGCAUUUCAGAAUGGCAUUUGCAAUAAGCUAAUAGAACUGAAGGCACUGUUUCCAGAGGGGGCAGGUGAAGCACUCUUCAAGGCACUCACGAGUCCAAACUGUUCACUGCAAAGACUAUACCUACUUUGGGAUAGUGAUCCUGCAGUGUUGCCAUGGGUAUGCAAGGCUCUUCAGGAGGGCACCAGCCUGUCAGUUUUAGAUUGCCGAAGUGAGGAC